This 45482-nucleotide long non-coding RNA is filed under the name Hordeum vulgare. RNAcentral describes it as "long non-coding RNA (HVUL_LNC003279)". Lineage: Eukaryota; Viridiplantae; Streptophyta; Magnoliopsida; Poales; Poaceae. The record is from RNAcentral.
GGGUUUUAGGGCUGAUUUGAGACAACUUUUGCCACUGCAGCCCGACCACGUACCUCCACGGUUUUACCUCUAGAUCGCGUUUCUGCGGAGCUCGGGCGGAGCCCUGCUGAGAUUAGAUCACCACCAACCUCCGGAGCGCCGUCACGCUGCCGGAGAACUCAUCUACCUCUCCGUCUCUCUUGUUGGAUCAAGAAGGCCGAGAUCAUCGUCGAGCUGUAUGUGUGCUGAAUGCGGAGGUGCCGUCCGUUCGGCACUAGAUCGGAGCGGAUCGUGGGAUGGAUCGCGGGACGGUUCAUGGGACGGUUCGCGGGGCGGAUCGAGGGACGUGAGGAUGUUCCACUACAUCAACCGCGUUUCUUAACGCUUCUGCUGUGCGAUCUACAAGGGUACAUAGAUCGGAAAUCCCCUCUCGUAGAUGGACAUCACCAUGAUAGGUCUUCGUGCGCGUAGGAAAUUUUUUGUUUCCCAUGCGACGUUCCCCAACACCCCGAUGAUCUCUCGGAGUACACAGAUCCGGACCAGCUUGAGGAUCUCGAUGAUUCAAAAGAUAGCAACUACCUCACUCCGGUCGAAGAGGAGGACAACCUGGGAGACGAGGAUUUCAUCAUCCCCGAAGACUCGCCAGAUCAAGAAGUAUUCGAGCGGCAGCUCAUAGCCAAUACAUGAAGCCUUAAGUUAAAACCGAGUCAAAUUAAAUCCGAACGGGAAUCCAUCAAUGAAAGAUGGACGGAAGUCCUAGACCCUGAAGAAGGGUACGACCAGGAAUGUGGUGACCAAAUAAAAGUUACCGACGUCGCCGGUUGCUCCAAGAGUUUGAAUACGAGGCCUUGGAACCUGCACCAUUCAGGUUCGCACAAGAUGACCAAUUGGACCUUCCCCGUCGAGAACGGGACGGGAUAGUUGGAGAAGCUGGAGACCAUCCUGAACACCCACACAAAAGGAGAAGAGAGCCAGCUCAUCCCGGAGGCCCAUUUGACCUACGACACAAUAUGAAUGCUAGGAUAGGACAGACAAGAUCUAUUUAUGGAUCCAGAUUGCACACUCCCGCUAGAUGGGACAGGUACCAAGCUCAACUCGAUCAGAAUGAUGGAGUUCGGAAACCGCAGCAGGGUAGGAUUUUAUCCGAUCUCUACCAUGACGCGGCUCGGAUAAGGGGUGCCCGUCACCCAUUGUGCUUCAAAGAUGAGGUGAUGUAGCAUCAGUUCCCCGAAGGGUCUAAACCCAUAAAUAUAGAGCAAUAUGACGGGACAACACACCCGACCGUGUGGAUUGAGGAUUUCCUUCUCCACAUUCAUAUGGCUCGCGGAGACGACCUCCGUGCCAUUAAGUACUUACCAUUAAAACUCAAAGGACCAGCACGGCAUUGCUUGAACAACGUGCCAAAAAACUCCAUUGGGAGUUGGGAACAGAUUGAAGAUGCUUUCUAAGACAACUUUCAAGGCACUUAUGUUCGACUUCCUAGGUCCAGUGACUUGAACCAUAUCAUCCAACAAGCUGAUGAGUCAUCCCGGCAAUUCUGGAAUCGAUUCCUCACUAAGAAAAAUCAAAUUGUUGAUUGUUCAGAUGACGAGGCAUUAGCUUCCUUUAGAAACAAUAUACGAGAUGAAUGGUUAUCCCGGACGCUCGGAGAGGAGAGUCCAAGAACAAUGGCAGCCCUUACCUCGCUCACGACCCGCUUCUGCAUGGCUGAGGAUACUUAGCUAGCCCGUCGGAACAACCCCCUUCCAAACCUUGGCACUUUUACAGCCUCAGAUGGCAAUGGAAAGCACCAUCGCAACAAGAACAAGCGUCGAUACAAUGGCAAACCGAUAAGUUGACAGUUAAUGUCGGAUUCAGCAACUCCACCUCUUGACUGAAGAAGAAACUUUCUAAAGGAAAUCAGGAUGGGCCGAUCACGUUGCACAAAAUACUUGAUAGGCACUGCCAGAUCUAGGGCACCUAAAACAAGCCCGCUACUCACAUCAACCGUAACUGGUGGGUAAUUAAAUAGGAAAGCAAAAAAUAUAGCCGAGGAACAGGGCAAGAGCCCUCAUAGCGAGGGCGAUGAAGAACCUCGUCGACCGAAUAACGGGGGCCAAAAGCAAUUUCCUUGUGAGGUGAAAACUGGGAACAUGAUCUAUAUCACGCACAUACCAAAAAAGGAGAGAAAAUGGGUACUUCGGGACGUAUACACCAUAGAACCAGUAGCCCCGAAGUACAACCCAUGGUCGGCAUGUCCGAUCACUUACGACCGCAUGGAUCACCCAACUAAUAUUCGGCAUGGGUGUUCGCGGCCCUGGUGCUCGACCCCAUUGUUGAUGGGUAUCAUAUCACUCGAGUCCUCAUGGACGGAGGCAACAACCUCAAUCUAAUUUACGCAGACACGAUGAAAAGAUGGGUAUUGAUCCAUCAAGGUUCAAACCCAGCAACACCACCUUCAAGGGAAGAAUCCCUCGCAUCGAGGCCCGCUGUUCGGGCACCAUAACUCUGGAAGUAGUGUUUGGUUCGCCUGAUAACUUACGCAAUGAAGACCUGAUCUUGGACAUUGUUCCUUUUCAUAGUGGGUAUCAUGCUCUCCUCAGACGUACAAUGUUCGACCGCUUUAAUGUCGCUCCCCAUUAUGCAUACCGAAAGUUGAAGAUGUCGGGAUCUAAGGGUGUCAUAACCAUCAAUGGGAACAAUAAGUGACCCCUUCGAACAGAGGAACAUACUAUGGCUCUGGCAAACGAAGUACAUGAUGGAAAUACGACUCUAAAGUCACAGCUAACCGUUAAGGAGCACAAAUGAGCUUGCACUCCGCCGCAGUUCCCCGACCCCUCACAUGAUCAAACCAAAUAGGGAUACGCUCCCCACAUCAGCACCUUGCCAGCAGCAAAGUACGUACCUCGAAGGCACAAUUUUGUGUUUAAGAUACCACAGGCAAUUGUGAGGACUGAUUACACGAGACUAGGUGUUCGGCUGAACCAAACUAUGGUCAUGAACAUCCUCGGUCACAUGCAGGUACAGUAAAGGACCAACUUUGCAUCAAGCUACUCCCACAUCGGCGGCUUCUCAAUACCACCUUUGUUAAAGGACCUCUCAUUGAUGUUCCCCCCUUUCAAGGAAUACUUCCCGAAGAAUGAAGGUGCAGACGUGCAGCAGGGCGUCAUAAGCGACAUCAAGCCAGCUAUAAAAAACAUGUGUAAACCUUUACUAUGUAAACUUCUUCAUUUUCCUAUCUAUAAACAGUUGUUUGAUGCAAUUCACAUUCUAUGGAUACGAGUUAAUCAGAAAUAAGGAACACUCUUUAUGGUACAUUAGAAUUGCUACAUCUUUCUUCUUUUUCCCUUCUUUUUGAACAUUUUUUCAAACACCAACACAAGCCUGUUUUCAUGCACAUGUUAUAUGCUACUCGUUAAAUUGACCAGGGGCUUGGCUGUCAUGGUUGCCCUUAGCAUCAUUGUGACACUAUUAUAUGUGUGCGGAGACUUGGAUAUUGCGUUAUAUGCAUUAGUUCCGAAUUAUGUAUUGGGUCAAUAGUUGGGUUUCCCGGCUCCUGUGCUUACCCCUUUAUGUUCCUCUUGUUCGGCGAAAAGGGUAAAGAGAGAACCGUUGUGAUUGUACUUCUAGUUGGUCCCGUUAAGUACCUCAGUGGAGAAAGCAGAAAACUAAAUGUCAUAAUAAGCGCGAACUGGUCUCUAAUCUGAUGACAAAUACUAAAUUAAGUGCUUCUUGGGGUUCACCGCGUUAUGCAGAAGGUUUAGAGUUAUACAAACCAAGUGAUAAUGUUUUUUUUACACCGUGGUAAAGCCGAACAUCACGUUUUAUAAGGGGGCUCUAAUUGGGCCCCGCAGUAAAUCUCCUAUGGUUAAGUGAAAGACUUAAAGCCACAUAGUCUGAUUACCUUGUUUCCUCCCACAUUACCGCUCUCGGGCAACAAGAUAUUGGCAAAGGCUAACAACACGAAAGCUGAAAACACCCCUGAUAGCAUCUGUCAGGGGGCUAAAGCCGACGACUAGAAACUUUCAGGUUUAGACAAACACAUGGGAUUUAAAAUUAAAAACAAGAUAAGAUAUGGUAUACCAUGCAAAGCAAAUAGCAUUGUAUCGUACAAAAAUUCGGCCGCUCGUACAGGACAGUGUUUCCCUUUAAAGAUUGCAUCUUUGGGGCACUAAGUCUCUAUAGCCCGAGCACCUUCUAUUCAAGUGGAGAAGUACAGCUCGGGGUGUUGAUGUUAUUUUCCAGGUAGUGGAGGUGCGGUGGCCAUCUUAGUGGGUUCCACUUCUGGCCAAUGCAUCAUGGUUCUUGCAAAGGCCAUUUGAGCUCCAUCUAUGCACGUAGAGCGCUUCCGAUGACAAUCUAGAGCGUGACAACAAUAAGCUUAUGCACGAGGCAAAAAUAGCUGCUCGGCAGCGACUCUGUCGGCCAUAGCUUGACGUAGAGAUCCUUCAUUGCCGGCUCUGCCAUCUUGUGCAGCUUCGUCGGUUGUUUUAGCUGAUUAGAGACAGGAAGGGGUUGCUCGGGGGCUUGGAACCGCGCCGAGAACAGCCUUUGCUCGGCCUCACCCUCGUGGGCUGCAUAAUGCUUUGAAGCAUCAGCCGCACUCUUUGAUCCGCAAACAUGCCUCGAGAAUGCCAUACUAGAGUAAGCAAUGCAAACCUUUUUCGCCAAAAACAGUGAAGUAAAUAUCUCUUACCAUGUGCAAUCUGCUUGAUCUCUUGGAUCUCCUUCUGAUGGUUGUGUGUCUCCUUCAUGCAUCUUGAAGUGUAGCAGUUGCCGUGAAUAGCUCGAAAGAUGUUUCUUUAUUUUUCUGCUAAAGGACCUCACAUUUAGUAACGGCAUCCUUGAUCUCCUGUUGUACCUCUAUGACCCUGGCCUUGUGCCUUUCGCUGGCAGACUUAACUGUCAAGAGUUUGGUCGUAGCUUGUUCGUCCAUCGCCCUCUGUUCGGUAGCUUUCUGCUUGGCUUGCCCAGCUCGGCUUUUAGCCUCUCGACCUCCACGACAGCAUAUGUAAUUUUCAUGCAAAUAAAUUGCAUUUAAGGGCACAAAUAUUAAACAUCUCACUUUUAUGUGAAAAUUAUAAGUUCAAUGAUUACCUUGUGCAUAAUCAAACCGCUUAUUCAAGCGGUCGAGCUCUUCCUCAGAGCUCUUCACCUUUCAGUUCAUUUCUGCCAAGUCUACGGAGUUGGGGGCUGCUGUCGAGGUUGUGGCCUGCAAAUAGGCAUGUUAGAUUCUCAAGUUAUAAGAUUGUUCAAAAUCCUCUGCUAGGCAGUUUUUAUCAUCCUACGAGAGUCUUGGGGGCUACAAUCAACUUUUUACUAUUAUAUGGGGAUGUUUUCCGAACUAAUUUGACCCCAGCAUGAGUUUUUUCAACUAACACAGGGCACGGGGGCUACUGAACAUAAGGAUUGCUUAUAAACCGAUAAGGAACACUAUUACUUUGUGAAAAAGGAGUGUGCGGAUUACCUUGAAGCCUAUCAACAAGUCGACGAAAGCCUCUUUCAGAUUGCUAUCAACGGACCCAAUACUUUUGAGUACCGCGCUCACAUGAGUGCGGUGUUCUUUAGGGAUGAAAAAGUCAUUUAGACCCUCCUCCAUCAUGACCGACCACCCAGUUUGGGGCCGCUCUAUUGUGGACGGCUCUGGGUGCGGCAUACAAGUUUCCCCUUGUGGAGAAACUGCUACACAUGGCUCUGGAGGCCGAGAGGCCUGUGGAAUUGACUUUGGACUUUGGUGAGGACCCGCGUGUCCGGGAUCUCCUUCCUUUAUUGCGAGGAGGGAUCUGUCCUCCUGGUCUUGCGCGACCAAGGUCUUAACAUCGGAGAAGAUAUCAUCACCCUCGGCCCUCGUUUCCGGCUCUGGGGGAUUCUCUCGAGAUGUAACCUCCCCAAUCUCUUCUAUGGCUGGGGAUGUGUGUUGUGUGAGCCGGUCUAGAUUUUCACCAUAUUGUCCGGCGAAGGGACCCCCUCCGAAGUAUGAUCGGUGGGAAAAUCAUGCGGCGGCUUGAAAUAUGGAAGAAGGGCCUAACCGUUAAUCCACAACAUCUCAAAAAAAUGGUAUGAUCGGGUUUUUGAAAAUUACCUUUGCGCUUGGGGUUUCACCUUGAGGGUCUUUCGAAGGACCAGUGCAGAAUCCUUGAAUCCCUCAUCAAAUUCCGGAACAUCUUCAAAUAGGGUCAUGGGGGCCCUGUAUUGCUUCUUCGAAACAGAGGGAGUUGGACCUCCCUUGACGUCUUCGGAACCGCUCUCUUCUUCGUGUGGGAGGAGUCACUCUCCUCCUCCUCGUCCUCUUGCUUCUCUCCCUCGAGAUGAGAGGGAGAAAGCGUGUCCUUAGACCUAGUGUCUGAUGGACCCUUCGACCAAAGACUCUCUCGGGCCCUUUUCUUCUCCUUCUUCUUCUCAGGAAAGGGCAUGGGGCAGCUGAUCUAAUGUGGCUUUUCCAGCUAGAUCUCCGAGAACGGAGGAAAGCAUAAGUGAGCACCUUAUUAAAAGUAAGGGGAAAAAGAUAAGAAUAUGAUGAAACCUUACCAUUCCGGUACGGUUAAGGUCGGAAAUGCCAACGUCCUCCUCUUCGGUUGGCCAUGUCUUUUGCGGAUUGAACAACAACUUCCACAAUUUCUCGUGGGUAAUCGGAAAAAGUCCCUCACAGUGGUCGGAUCGUCCGGAUUAUAAGCCCACAUCAGGGUGGCCCGAUGUUGGCAGGGGAUAAAACGGCAAUGUAGCAUUACCUGGACCACGUUGGUGAGAUCAAUUUUAUUCUCCAUUAUAGGGAAGAUUUGCUUUGUGAGCACCUUCACCUCCGCAACCUCCCCCAAUGUAGGGCCUUCUCCGUCGAGGCCACAAGUUGGGUGGGAGGACCGGAUCUUAACACCGGAGGAGCUGCUCCUUACACGCCACGCGCCUCUGAGAUAUGGAGCUACUCCUUCUGCCACGCCGUGACGGUGUCUAUGAAUGUGCCCUUAGGCCAUUGGACCCAAGCAAGCUUGCUAAACAUUGCUCCCAUGCAGUCUGCCUACACGCCAUUGACAACCUUGGGUUUGAUGUUAAGGACCUUUAGCCAUAGUCCAAAGUGGGGGUGGACCCGCAAGAACGCCUCACACACUCUGAUGAAUGGUGAGAUGUGCAAAAUGGAAUUUGGGGAAAGAUCAUGGAAGUCUAGUCCAUACUAAAACAUAAUGCCCCGAACAAAGGGGCAGAGAGGGAAACCUAGACCCCGAAGAAAAUGGGGAAUGAGAACCACCCUCUUGCCAUGUUUUGGCAUGGGGAUGACUUGGCCCUUCUCUGGGGCUCGGUGCGCUAUGUUCUCCGGCAAAUAGAGGGAGCUCUUCACCUCCUAGUUGUCCUUUUCAGUAACGUAGGAAACCUCCCACUUGCCCUUCGAGCUUGAGCGGGCCAUGGCCGGACUAGGAAAGGUUCGAGGAAGUUGAGGGAAGAAGAGAACUUGAGCGCUCGAGCUAUGAAGGCUAGGAAUGGCAAUGGCGGUGCGAGAUCUGGAAUGAGUGAGGAGGCUAUGGUGAUGGUUUUACCUUUCAUAAACUACUGAAAUACCAAGAGCCCCACUACUGCGUCGUCAACUUUUCCAUUUCCCAAAAUAAUCGUGUGGUUAUACGCGUACGAGAUAACCCAAAUCAUAAACCGUAUCCCUCAAAAGGAGGGACAUGAUCUCUACUAUAGGACAUGUCACUAAAGACCGUACCGAAGCAUGUUUUCAUAAUGGGUCAUCGGCUUUGACUAGCUGUGACCUUUCGUUAGAAAGAGUGUCCAUAUCUGCGGUCAAGAGGUUGGUUUGGAAAUUAAAUUUCAUCUUUAUAUAUAUANGGUAGUGCACUGCAUAGCUAUCAAACGAACACUGAAAUGUCACCAGAAAAAACCGCACGCGUUUUUUGACACCGUUUCCAUCUUUUGAAACGUUUGUCGGAAUAAGGCAUAUAAUAUACAGUUGGAUUGCUACAGAAAAUUCCUAACUUUGACAUGUUGAACACUUUUCGCGAUUCCUCGCGGUUUAAGUGCAGUUUCGAAAACAGUGGGCGCAUAACGGGUUGGAGUGAGGACAUUUUCACGAUUUUUUUGUAAAACGCUCGUCUAUUGGGCUCGGAUUCGUUAACGGCAGCUACUUACACCCACGCAGUGGAUUGCAUGGCAACAUCGACGUGCAGCCGUUGACCACCACAUCUUGCCCAAAGGCUAUCCACCAUGCCUCGAGGUGGCAGGAGGCUGGGGUCCUGCACGGCCAUCAUGUCAUCAGGGGAGGGGAUCCAUGGCCCAGCCGCCGUGGCAGUUGGGGGCUACGGCGGGGUGGUGUAGGAGCCCCGGGGAACCGAUGAGGUGCGGCGCCGAGAGAGCCGCGUGGUCGCCGAAGUCAGUAGUAUCCAGAUCCGUAGUGCGUGGAGGGGAUGGUGACCUGUUGAUCUUGUCGUCGUUGCGACAGAGUGGAAGUUAGUGGAGGCGGGGCGGCCUCAUGCAAGGGAAUUAGAGGAGUGAUACGUCUUCAACGUAUCUAUAAUUUUUGAUUGUUCCAUGCUAUUAUAUUAACUGUUUUGGAUCUUUUAUAUGCAUUAAUAUGUUAUUUUAUAUUAUUUUUGGGACUAAACUAUUAACCUAGAGCCUAGAGCUAGUUUCUCUUUUUCCCCAUGUUUUUGAGUAUUGCAGAUAAGGAAUAUUAAACGAAGUCCAAACGGAAUAAAAUCUAUUGAACGAUUUUUCUUGGACCAGAAGAAACCUGCCAGACUUGGAGAAGGGGGCAGGAGACCUGCCGGGAGACGACAAGCCUGUAGGGCGUGCCCCCCCUGUAGGCCUCCUAACCCUAAUAUUCUUCCUAUAAAUUCCCAAAUAUUCCCCCAAUACUAGAACGACACCAAAAAAUACUUUCCCACCGCCGAGAGCCUCUGUUCACGUGAGAUCUAAUUUGGGAGCCUUUUCCGGUAAUCUGUCGGAGGGGGAAUCGAUCAGGGAGAGCAUCUACGUCCACUCCAUUGCCUCUUUGAUGAUGCGUGAGUAGUUCACCACAGACCUACUGGUCCAUAGCUACUAGCAAGAUGGCUUCUUCUCUUUCUUUGUUCUUCAAUACAAUGUUCUUCAUGAUCUUCAUGGAGAUCUAUCUGAUGUAAUACUCUUUUGCAGUGUGUUUGUCGAGAUAUGAUGAAUUGCGGGUUUAUGUUCAGAUUAUAUAUGAAUAUUAUUUGAAUCUUUUCCGAAUUCUUAUAUGCAUGGUUUCAUAUCUUAGCAAGUCUCUUCAAUUUAUUCGUUUGGUUUGGCCAACUAGAUUGGUAAUUCUUGCAAUGGGAGAAGUGCUUAGUUUUGGGUUCAAUCUUGCGGUGUCCUCACCCAGUGACAAAGUAGGGGUAGCGAGGCACGUAUUGCAUUGUUUGCAUCGAGGAUAAAAAGAUGGGAUUUUCAUCAUAUUGCUUGAGUUUAUUCCUCUACAUCAUGUCAUCUUACCUAAUGCGUUACUCUAUUCUUCAUGAACUUAAUACUCUAUAUGAAAGCAUGAGUCGGUCGAUGUGUGGAGUAAUAGUGGUAGAUGCAGAAUUGUUUUGGUCUACUUGACACGGACAUGAUGCCUAUAUGCAUAAUCAUUGCCUUGGAUAUCUUCAUAAUUAUUUGCUUUUCUAUCAAUUGCUCGACAGUAAUUUGUUCACCCAUCGUAUUAUUUUCCUUCAUGAUAGAAGCCUCUAGUGAAACCUAUGGCCCCGGGGUCUAUUUUCCAUAUUAUACUUUCAGAUCUAUAAAUCAAAAAUACCAAAAAUACAUUGCUCCUAUUUAUUUACUGUUGUUUCACUUUUAGUGCUAGCUAUCUUUUAUAUCUAUCUCUAUCAGAUCUCAUCCUUGCAAAUAACCAUGAAUGGAUUGACAACCCCUUUUUAGCGUUGGGUGCAAGUGUUUGCCUGUUUGUGUAGGUGCUAAGAUUGGGGCCUUGCUUGUUCCUCCUACUGGAUUUAUACCUUGGUUCUCAACAAACUGAGGGAAAUACUUAUCUACUUUGCUGCAUCACCCUUUCCUCUUCAAGGGAAAACCAACGCAAGUUGAAGAAGUAGCAAGAAGCAUUUCUGGCGCCGUUGCCGGGGAGGAUACAUAGCAAGAUCAAGCCUACCAAAUACUCAUCACAAACUCAUCUCUUGCAUUUACAUUAUUUGCCACCCGUUUUCCUUCCCCCACUUCACCAAUUUUCCGUUUUAUUCGCCUUUUUUUCACCGGAUCUCUUUUUCUCUUCUUGUGUUACCAUAUGCCUUCUAUUUUCUUGCAUCUUUGCUUGCUAAAAGUCUAUUGAUAUGGAUCCUCAUACACUUGCUAAUCUUUUCAAGAGAUCCAAUUAUGAUGAACCAAUUGCUAGUCAGUUAAGUGUAGUUGUUUAUAUCCAUGAAGUUUUGCUUGAGAUUCGUGAAUCUGAAAAUUCUGAUGAAGUGAUUCACGAUGUUUCCUUGAAUGAAAAGUUUGAUUGCAUCAUUUUGUUAUAAAUUCUAUUAAUACCAUUUGUGCUAAUGAUAUGCAAACCCACAAGCUUGGGGAUGCUAUAUUUGAUGAGUUUGCCAUGAACACUACUUAUUGCAAUGAUUAUGAUUGGGGUAAUAAUGCUUCUUAUGAUCUUGAUAAUUUAUUUAAUACUCUUGAUGAAUAUGAUAUCGAAAGUGGGUUUGGAAGAGUAUUAACUUUAGUUAAAAACAAUCCCACAUAUUUGGAGAGUGUUCAGUCUUAUGAUUUUUUUGAUAAAAGUGGGUUUGGAGAGGUCAUGACGUUAGUUAAUGUUAAUCCCACUACCUUGGAAGAUUGUAAGACUUUUAUACAUGUGGAUCAUGAAAAUAAUGCUUUAUGUGAUAGUUAUAUAGUUGAAUUUAUUCAUGAUGCUACUGAAAAUUACUAUGAGAGAGGAACAUAUGCUUUUACAUAUUGCAAUAAUAUCAAGUUUCUUCUCUAUGUGUUGGAAAUUUUGAAGUUAUACUUGUUUUCCCUUCCUAUGUUAAUUGAUUCUUGUUCCCAUAAUUUGUUUGCUCACAAAAUACCUAUGCAUAGGAAGUGGUUUACACUUAAAUAUGCUUGCCAUGUGAUUCAUGAUGCUCUAUUUAUGUUUUAGUUCUUUACCUUUAUGCGAGCAUCAUUGAAAUCAUUGUGCCUAGCUAGGGGCGUUAAACAAUAACGCUUGUUGGGAGGCAACCCAAUUUUAUUUUUAUGCUUUUGUUUUGUGCUUCUAUUUUUGAGUCCUUCGCACAUUAUUACCUGUGUAAUAAUUGUCUUUUCUUGUUUUAAUUAGUGAUUGAGCCAAGUAAUACCUUUGGAAUGGUCUACGGUGCUUGCAAGUUGAUUUUGCUGAAAAACAGAAACUUUCGCUCUCAGUCCAGGAAUUUUAUCAAUUCACUGGAACAUGAUUUUGGUAUGACUUUUUACACAAGAUUUAUAUACAAAUUUCCCUGAUUCUCCUAAUUUUUCAGAAUUUUUGAAGUUACAGAAGUAUUUGAAGUUUAUAGAUUGCUACAGGUUGUUCUGUUUUUGACAGAUUCUGUGUUCUUUGUGUUGUUUACUUAUUUUGAUGAAUCUAUGAGUUGUAUCAAGGCGUAUGAACCAUGGAGAAGUUGGAAUAUAGUAAAUAUUGCAAUAAUAUAAAUAAAAAUUGAGUUCACAACAGUACCUAAAGUGGUGAUUUAUUUUGUGUUGUGAAGUUUUCAAGUUUUGGGUAAAGAUUUGAUGGACUAUGGAAUAAGGAGUGGCAAGAGCCUAAGCUUGGGGAUGCCCAAGGCACCCCAAGCCAUAUUCAAGGAUACCAAAGAGCCUAAGAUUGGGGAUUCCCCGGAAGGCAUCCCCUCUUUCGUCUUCAAUCCAUCGGUAAAUUUACUUGAGGCUAUAUUUUUAUUCACCAGAUGAUAUGUGUUUUUCUUGGACCGUCUUGUAUGAUACAAAUCUUUACUUUUUAGUUUUCCACAAUCAUCCUUGAUUCACACAUCUUUUGAGAGAUACAUGCUGAAUCGUGAAUUUAUUAGAAUACUCUGUGUGCUUCACUUAUAUCUUUUGAGCUAGGCAAUGUUGCUCUAGUGCUUCACUUAUAUCUUUUAGAGCACGGUGGUGUAUUAUUUUAUAAAUAUGAUUAAACUCUCAUACCUCACUCAUAUUAUUUUGGGAGUAUUUUAUACAGCAUGGUAAUUGUUGGAAAUAUGCCCUAGAGGCAAUAACAAAUUGGUUAUUAUUAUAUUUCCUUGUUCAUGAUAAUCGUUUAUUAUCCAUGCGAGAAUUGUAUUGAUUGGAAACUCAAAUACAUGUGUGGAUACAUAGACAACACACUGUCCCAAGUGAGCCUCUAGUUGACUAGCUCGUUGAUCAAAGAUGAUCAAGGUUUCCUGGCCAUAGGCAAGUGUUGUCACUUGAUAACGGGAUCACAUCGUUAAAAGAAUGAUGUGAUGGACAAGACCCAAACUAUAAACGUAGCAUAUGAUCGUGUCAGUUUAUUCCUACUGUUUUUCUGCAUGUCAAUGUAUCAAUUCCUAUCACCAUGAGAUCAUACAACUCCCGGACACUGGAGAAAUACCUUGUGUGUAUCAAACGUUGCAACGUUACUGGGUGACUAUAAAGGUGCUCUACAUGUAUCUCCAAAGGUGUCUGUUGGGUUGGCAUGGAUCAAGACUGGGAUUUUUCACUCCAUGUGACGGAGAGGUAUCUCGGGGCCCACUCGGUAAUACAACAUCACAAAAAGCCUUGCAAGCAAUGUGACUAAGGAGUUAGUUAUGGUAUCUUGUACUAUGGAACAAGUAAAGAGACUUGCCCGUAACGAGAUUGAACUAGGUAUGGAGAUACCGACGAUCGAAUCUCGGGCAAGUAACAUACCGAAGGACAAAGGGAACAACAUACAUGAUUAACUGAAUCCUUGACAUAGAGGUUCAACCGAUAGAAAACUUUCUAGAAUAUGUAGGAGACAAUAUGGACAUCUAGGUCCCGCUAUUGGUAUUGACCGGAGAAUGUCUCAGGUCAUGUCUCCAUAGUUCUCGAACCCGCAGGGUGUGCACACUUAAGGUUCGGUGACGUUUCGGUAUAGUUGAGUUAUAGUUGUUGGUAACCGAAAGUUGUUCGGAGUUGCGAAUGAGAUCCCGGACGUCACGAGGAGCUCCAGAAUGGUCUGGAGGUAAAAAUGAUAUGUAGGAAGUCCUGUUUCGGUCACCGGACAAGUUUCGGGCUCAUCGGUAGUGUAGCGGGAGUGUCGGGAGGGCACCGGGGACCAUCGGGAGGGGUGUCACGCCCCGAGGGGCCUUAUGGGCUAUGGGAGGACACAAACCGGCCCCUAGUGAGCUGACAUAAGCUCCCACUAAUGUCCAUGAGGUUUGCGAGGCAAAAACCCAAAGGUGGAAAAGGUGGAAAGGGUUUCCAAGUGGAAAGGAGGAAUCCUACGUAGGAUUGGAGUAGGACUCCUCCACCUCCAAUUUCGUCAAAACCUUGAGGGUUUGAGGCUGCCUCCUCCCCUCCCUCCCUCUUAUAUAUAGUAGAGGUAUUGAGGGUUUUUGAGAUACACAUGUUCAACCACGUGCUACCCUCUCCUCUAGUUUGUAGUUCUUCCUCUAGAUCAGAUUUAUGCGGUGCUUAGGCGAAGCCCAGCAGGAAUAGAUCACUACCAUCACUGGCGCGCCAUCACGCUGCCAGAGAACUCAUCUACUUCCCCGUAUCUCUUGCUGGAUCGAGAAGGUGGGGGUCAUCAUCGAGCUGUACGUGUGCUAAACGCGGAGGUGCCAUCCGUUCGGCACUAGAUCGGGAUGGAUCGUGAUGGCAUCGCGGGACGGAUCGUGAUGAGAUCGCGGGACGGGCUGCGAUUUGAAUCGCAAAGAUGUUACACUACAUCAACCGCAUUAUAUACUCUUCCUCUUAACGAUCUACAAGGGUAUGUAGAUUCACUCUUCCCUCUCGUAGAUGAAGCGGCCCGAACAGACCUUACUCGUAUGCUUACGAGAGACCGGUUUCAUCGACCAAAAUGCAACUUGUUGCAUCAAGAUGACUGUAGGGUGUCUGUUUCUUCAACUUUAGUUGAAUCGGAUUUGACCGAGGCGGUCCUUGGAGAAGGUUAAAUAGCAAAUUACAUAUCACCAUUGUGGCUUUGCAUAAGUAAGAUGUGAUCAUACUAGAUACACAUAGCAGCCAUGUAAAACAUGCAACAACAAAUUAGAGGAUGAUAGGUCUCCAACAUAUCUAUAAUUUUUUAUGGUUUCAUGCUAUUAUCUUGUCUAACUUUGGAUGAUUUGUAUGCCUUUUAUAUCUUUUUGGGACUAACUUAUUAACUCAGUGCCAAGUGCCAGUUCCUGUUUUUUCCCGUGUUUUUGACCCCUUUCAGAGGAGGAUUUUAAACGGAGUCCAAACGGAACGAAACUUCCAAAAAGAUUUUUUCCGAAACAGAAGACGAUCGGGAGACUUGAGAACCAAGGCAGAGGGCCACCUCUGCCCUAGGUCUUUCGCCUAUAUAUUCCCAAUAAUUCCAGAAAAAAUUAGGAGAUCAUCAAAAUUACUUUUCCGCCUCCGCAAGCUUCUGUCUCCGCAAGAUCCCAUCUGGGGCACAUUCUGGUGCCCUGCCAGAGGGGGGAUUCAUGUAUGGAGGGCUUCUUAAUCAAGACCAUGACCUCUUCGAUGAUGCGUGAGUCGUUCACCAUAGACCUACGGGUCCAUAGCUAGUAGCUAGAUGGCUUCUUCUCUCUCUUGGAUCAUCAAUACAAAGUUCUCCAUGGUCUUCAUGGAGAUCUAUCCGAUGUAAUCUUCUUUGCGGUGUGUUUGCCGAGAUCCGAUGAAUUGUGGAUUUAUGAUCAGAUUAUCUAUGAAUCUUAUUUGAGUUUCUUCUGAUCUCUCUUAUGCAUGAUUUCAUAUCCUUGUAAUUCUCUUCGAGUUGUGGGUUUUGUUUGGCCAGCUUGAUCUAUGAUUCUUGCAAUGGGAUAAGUGCUUGGUUUUGGGUUCAUACUGUGCGGUGACCUCACCCAGUGACAGAAGGGGUAGCGAGGCACGCAUCGUGUUGUUGCCAUCAAGGGUAAAAAUAUGGGGUUUUCAUCAUUGGUUUGAGUUUAUCCCUCUACAUCAUGUCAUCUUGCUUAAGGCGUUACUCUAUUCGUCAUGAACUCAAUACACUAGAUGCAUGCUGGAUAGCGGUCGAUGUGUGAAGUAAUAGUAGUAGAUCCAUAAAGUAUCGGUCUACUUGUCUCGGACGUGAUGCCUAUAUGUAUGAUCAUUGCCUUAGAUAUCGUCAUGACUUUGCGCGGUUCUAUCAAUUGGUCGAUAGUAAUUUGUUCACCCACCGUAAUAUUUGCUAUUUUGAGAGAAGCCUCUAGUGAACACUAUGGCCCCCGGGUCUACUUUACACCAUAUUUUCAGCCUUACUCUUUUACUUCGUUUCACUUUUCGCUUUCAGAUCUCACUUUGCAAUCAAUCUUGAAGGGAUUGACAACCCCUUUAUAGCAUUGGGUGCAAGCUCUUUUGUGUUUGCGCAGGUACUCUGGACUUGAUGAGAUUCUCCUACUGGAUUGAUACCUUGGUUCUCAGACUAAGGGAAAUACUGACUGCUCCUGUGCUGCAUCACCCUUUCCUCUUCGAGGGAAAAACCAACGCAAGCAAGUCUCCGUCAACGUGUCAAUUUCUGACGCCAUUGUUUGAGAAGUAGCAAAAGGAUUUCUCGCGCCGUUGUCGGGGAGGAUCAAGUCAAGAUCAUCCAAGUAAGUGUCACGAACACAUCUCUUGCAUUUACUUUUGUUUUGCCUCUCGUUUUCCUCUCCCCCACUUCUGAAAAAAAAUUACAAAAAUAUUUGCCUUUUUCGUUUGCCUUUUUCGUUCGCCCUUUUCUCUCGCUUGCUUUCUGUUCGUUUGUGUGGGAUAGUCUAUCUGUCCUCACGGCUAGAUCCACCACUUCGAACGAUACUCCCGAGAACGAAGUUCUCAAUUUCAAACAAAUUGAGGAAGAAAACUUAAAGGACGCUUGGUAUAGGAUUUGCAAUGCUCAGAGUAGAUCUACUCAUAAGCAAUCCACUACCGUCCUGCUUUGCAGUUUUUAUGUGGGUAUUUCUCCUUGGAAUAGGUAUAUUCUUGACACCAUCGUAGGCGGAAAUUUCUUGGGUAGCCAUACCGUUGAUUCUUACGGAGCUGUAAUAAAUUUGGUAGGCUCAUCCCCACUCAUGGUUAAUGGAACUACCUUAACUCUGGAACAUGUGAUGCGUAGGCUGGAUGUCAUUGAAAAUAAAGUUGCUAUGAUCGAACUUAUUGAGAAUUUGGAUUCAAAGAUCCACAAUCAAAUCACUCAGUACGGAUCCAAUGUGGGAAUGGUUUUGAAAAAUUUAAAGGAGAAGGAACCCACAGUUAACGAAAAAUUAGGUCAUGACUCCGCUAGGAUUGGCAAACUAGAGGAUGUUAUAACCAACUUGGGUUCCGCUUUUGCCGCUAUGCAGAAUACUCCAAAUUUUGCCCACAAUAAGGCCACCAAGUCUGUUCUUGUUCCCAAAAAUAGUGGUGAAUCAUCUAGUAAAAAAAUGAAGACCUUAAGAUGAUGAGUGAUCACGCUACUUAUGGUUUGAGCACCAAAGACGACGAUACGUGAUUCUAUCGCCUUAUGCCUAGCUAAGGGCGUUAAACAAUAGCGCUUGUUGGGAGGCAACCCAAUGAAUUUAUCUUUUUUCAUUCUAUUUUGUUGCGUCCACGCCAUCAUAAUUCUUUUAUUAUAGUGCCUUUUGUGUUUCUUUUUGUGUUUGAGCCAAGCAAAAUCUUUAUGACUAGUCUUGGUGAUGGUUGUUUGAUCCUGCUGGAAAGAGACAGAAAUUGGUCGCUCACAAGAUUAUUUUUCAUUUUUAUUCAGAAAGAGCUUUUGAGUUGAUUCGUUCUACUGCUGGUUGAUAUGCCUUUUUCCCAGGCAGUCAUAAUUUUGCAGAAUUUUUGAGGUACCAGAAGUAUAGGAAGUAUACAUAUUGCUACAGACUGAUCUGUUUUUGAUAGAUUCUGUUUUUGUUGAGUUGGUUGCUUGUUUUGAUGAAACUAUGGAUAGUAUCGGGGGGUACUUGCCCUGGAAAAGUGAGAAUACAGUAAUCUAACAACAAUAUAAAUAGAAAUCAAGAUUUCUACAGUACCUAAAGAGGUGGCAGUUUGUUUUCUUGUGCUAAUGAUAUCCCCCCCCCCCCUUUUUAUGUUUUGUGUUGUGAAGUUUUCAAGUUUUGGGUGAUGUUCUCAUGGACAAAGAGAUAAUGAGUGGAAAGAGCUCGCGCUUCGGGAUGCCCAAGGCAUCCCAAGCCAAAUUCAGAGUACACCAAAAAGCCUAAGAUUGGGGAUGCCCCGGGAAGGCAUCCCCUCUUUCGUCUUCAAUCCAUCGGUAACAUUACUUGGAGCUAUAUUUUUAUUCACCACAUGAUAUGUGUUUUGCUUGGAACGUCUUGUAUCGUAGGAGUCUUUUCUUUUUCUUGUGUCACAAUCAUACUUGCUGCACACCUUUUGAGAUAGACAUGCAUUCAUCGUGAUUUUGCUAGAAUGCUCAUCGUGCUUCACUUAUAUCUUUUGAGCUAGAUAAUUUUGCUUUAUGUGCUUCACUUAGAUCUUUUAGAGCACGGCGGUGCGUGACUUGGUAGUUGGCUUGUGCUAUAAAAGUAGUCCCAAAGGUGAUAGGUACCCAAAGAGGAUACAAAAUCCUUCAUCUUCAUGUGCAUUUAGUAGAAAGAGAAGUUAUGAUUCCUCUCAAUUAGUUUCGAGACGUGCAUUUGGUAAUAUUAAGAGUUAUGUUAGUAGGGUGUUGUGAAUCUAGAAAUACUUGUGUUGAAGUUAGUAAUUCCCGUAGCAUGCGCGUAUGGUGAACCGCUAUGUUAGGAAGUCAGAGCAUAAUUGAUCUAUUGAUUGUCAUCCUUUGUGUUGCGGUCGGGAUCACGCGAUGGUUAACACCUACCAACCCUUCCCCUAGGAGUAUGCGUUUAGCACUUUGUUUCGAUUACUAAUAAAAACUUUCGCAACAAGUAUGUGAGUUCUUCUUGACUAAUGUGAGUCCAUGGUAUGGAUGCACUUUCACCUUCCACCAUUGUUAGCUUCUCUAGUACCACGCAAUUUUCAGUGGUGCACAAACCCACCAUAUGCCUUCCUCAAAACAGCCACCAUACCUACCUACUAUGGCAUUUUCAUAGCCAUUCCGAGAUAUAUUGUCAUGCAAAUCCCACCGUUCCGUCUCAUGACUUGUGCCGUCACUCUCAUAUUGCCAUUUCAUGAUCGUAGGAUAGCUAGCGAGAUGUUUCAACGUCAUACGCCAAGCUAGAUCGUUGCACAUCCCGGAACACUGCCGGAGGCAUUUCCUAUAGAGUCAUCAUCGUUCUGACCUUUGAGCUGUGAGUAAAUAAAAGUGUGAUGAUCAUCAUUAUUAGAGCAUUGUCCCAUGUGAGGAAAAAAAGAGGCCAAAGAGCCAAAAAAGAGAAAAAAGAGGCCCAAGAGCCCAAACAAAAAAAGGGAGAGAAAAAGAGAGAAGGGACAAUGCUACUAUAUUUUUCCACACUUGUGCUUCAUAAUAGUACCAUGUUCUUCUUGAUUGAGAGCUUCUUGCUUUGGCACCACCAUAUACUAGUGGGAAUCUUUAUUAUAUACCUUGGCUUGUAUAUUCCAACGAUGGGCUUCCUCAAAAUUGCCCUAGGUCUUCGUAAGCAAGCAAGUUGGAUGCACACCCAAUAGUUCUCCUUUUGAGCUUUCACAUACUUAUAGCUCUAGUGCAUCCUUUGUAUGGCAAUCCCUACUCAUUCACAUUGAUAUCUAUUAUUGGGCAUCUCCAUAGCCCUUUGAUACGCCGAGUCAAUGUGACCAUCUCCUCCUUUUUUGUCUCACAACCACCACCACACUUUAUUCCACCUACAGUGCUAUAUCCAUGGCUCACGCUCGUGUAUUGCGUGAUAGUUAUAAAUAGUUUGAGAAAGUAAGAGUGCGAAAACAAUUACUUGGCUAAUACCGGAGUUGUGCAUGAUUUAAAUUAGUUGUGUGGGGAUGAUGGAGCAUAGCGAGACUAUAUGAUUUUGUAGGGAUAACUUUCCUUGGCCUUGUCAUUUUGAAAGUUCAUGAUUACCUUGCUAGUUUGCUUGAAGUAUUAUUGUUUUCAUGUCAAUAGCAAACUAUUGUUUUGAAUCUUACGGAUCUGAAUAUUUAUGUCACAUGAAAUAAGUUACAAAGGACAACUAUGCUAGGUAGCCUUCCAUAUCAAAAAUCCAGUCUUUAUCACUUUCCUACUCGAGGACGAGCAUGCGUUAAGCUUGGGGAUGCUUGAUACGUCUCCAACGUAUGUAUAAUUUUUGAUGGUUUCAUGCUAUUAUCUUGUCAAACUUUUGAUGCUUUGUAUGCCUUUUAUAUCUUUUUGGGACUAACUUAUUAACUCAGUGCCAAGUGCCAGUUCCUGUUUUUCCCGUGUUUUUUGCCCCUUUCAGAAGAGGAUUUUAAACAGAUCCAAACGGAACGAAACUUCCAAAAAGAUUUUUUUCCGAAACAGAAGACGAUCGGGAGUCUUGGGAACCAAGGCAGAGGGUCACCAGGGACCCCACAAGCCCUCAUGGUGCGGCCAGGGGGCCCGCGCUUCCCAGGCUUGUGGGCUCCCUGGGCCACCUUUGCCCUAGGUCUUUCGCCUAUAUAUUCCCAAUAAUUCCAGAAUAAUCAUGAGUUCAUCGAAAGUACUUUUCCGCCACCACAAGCUUAUGUCUCUGCAAGAUCCCAUCUGGGGCACGUUCUGGUGCCGUGCCGGAGGGGGGAUUUGGAUACGGAGGGCUUCUUCAUCAACACCAUCACCUCUCCGAUCAUGCGUGAGUAGUUCACCAUAGACCUACGGGUCAAUAGCUAGUAGCUAGAUGGUUUCUUCUCUCUCUUGGAUCUUCAAUACAAAGUUCUCCAUGAUCUUCAUGGAGAUCUAUCCGAUGUAAUCUUAUUUGCGGUGUGUUUGUCGAGAUCUGAUGAAUUGUGGAUUUCUGAUCAAAUUAUCUAUGAAUCUUAUUUGAAUUUCUUCUGAUCUCUCUUAUGCAUGAUUUCAUAUCCUUGUAAUUCUCUUUGAGUUGUGGGUUUUGUUUGGCCAACUUGAUCUAUGAUUCUUGCAAUGGGAGAAGUGCUUGGUUUUGGGUUCAUGCCGUGCGGUGACCUCACCCAGUGACAGAAGGGCUAGCGAGGCACACAUCGUGUUGUUGACAUCAAGGGUAAAAAGAUGGGGUAUUCAUCAUUGGUUUGAGUUUAUCCCUCUACAUCAUGUCAUCUUGCUUAAGGCGUUACUCUAUUCGUCAUGAACUCAAUACACUAGAUGCAUGCUGGAUAGCGGUUGAUGUGUGGUGUAAUAGUAGUAGGUGCAGAAAGUAUCGGUCUACUUGUCUCGGACGUGAUGCCUAUAUGUAUGAUCAUUGCCUUAGAUAUCGUCAUGACUUUGCGCGGUUCUAUCAAUUGCUCGAUAGUAAUUUGUUCACCCACCGUAAUAUUUGCUAUUUUGAAAGAAGCCUCUAGUGAACACUAUGGCCCCCGGGUCUACUUUACACCAUAUUUUCAGCCUUACUCUUUUACUUCGUUUCACUUUUCUCCUUCAGAUCUCACUUUGCAAUCAAUCUUGAAGGGAUUGAUAACCCCUUUAUAGCGUUGGGUGCAAGCUCUUUUGUGUUUGCGCAGGUACUCUGGACUUGACGAGAUUGUCCUACUGGAUUGAUACCUUGGUUCUCAAACUGAGGGAAAUACUUACUGCUCAUGUGCUGCAUGACCCUUUCCUCUUCAAGGGAAAAACGAACGAAAGAAAGUCUCCGUCAACGUGUCAAUUUCUGACGCUGUUGUUUGAGAAGUAGCAGAGGACGUCUAACUUGUUUUUGUAGGGUAUGCCUGUGAUGUGAUAUGGUCAAAGACAUAAUAUGAUAUAUUGGAUGUAUGAGAUGAUCAUGUUGUAAUAGUUAAAUAUCGACUUGCACGUCGAUGCUACGGCAACCGGCACGAGCCAGAGGGUUAUCUUUAAACUAACGUUUGUGCUUGCAGAUGCGUUUACUAUAUUGCUAGGUAGUAGCUUUAGUAGUAAUAGUAUAGAUAGCACGACAACCUCGAUGGCGGCACAAUGAUGGAGAUCAUGAUGAUCGAGAUCAUGGUGUGGCGCCGGUGACGAUGAAGAUCAUACCGGUGCUUUGGUGAUGGAGAUCAAGAAGCACAAGAUCAUGGCCAUAUCAUGUCACUUAUGAUUUGCAUGUGAUGUUAAUCCUUUUAUACACCUUAUUUUGCUUAGAACGACGGUAGAAUUAUAAGGUGAUCCCUCACUAAAAUUUCAAGAUAAAAUUGUGUUCUCCCCGACUGUGCACCAUUGCGACAGUUCGUCGUUUCGAGACACCACGUGAUGAUCGGGUGUGAUAGACUCAACGUUCACAUACAACGGGUGCAAAACAGUUGCACACGCGGAACACUCGGGUUAAACUUGGGCCCACUGACAGCGAGAGAUUAAGCUCCUAAUCUACUGGAUUAGCUUCGCCACGUCGGCCCCCACCGGAGCAUGGCCGGCGGCGACCACGGGCGCGGCGGAGGGCUCGCCGGAGAGGGCUAGACAGCGCAUCGGCCGUCGGUUUUGGGCGCAGAAAGGAGCUACGGGACGCUGGUGCNNNNNNNNNNNNNNNNNNNNNNNNNNNNNNNNNNNNNNNNNNNNNNNNNNNNNNNNNNNNNNNNNNNNNNNNNNNNNNNNNNNNNNNNNNNNNNNNNNNNCCCCAACGCCAUCGUCUUCCACCUCCGGCCGCCGGACCUCUCCCGUCGAUUCGCUCCCUCCGGCGCACCCCCGAGCCCCUCAACAACACCAUCGGAACCGCCGUGAGCUCGUCGUCGUUUCCCCUCUCGCCCCACGCUCUUUCGUGCAUCGUAGCCCCGUUCCCCACCAAGGCCGAGAGCUCCUCGCCGCCGGUCAUGUCGUCGCCGUUGCUGCGGUGUCUGAUCCACGCGCUCGAGCUAGGGAUCGAGCUCCUGGAGCCUCCAGGAGUGUGAUGAGCCCAUCAGCUAUCCUCCCCGUGCCCUAGAGCCCUCAACUGCGGGAGGCCGAGCUUCGGCCGCCGCUUCGGCUCGUCGCCGGCGCCUCUCCCAGUGACCCUAGCCUCCCCUGAUGCCCCCGCUAGAUGCGACGUUGCACCAGCGUCCCGUAGCUCCUUUCUGCGCCCAAAACCGACGGCCGAUGCGCUGUCUAGCCCUCUCCGGCAAGCCCUCCGCCGUGCCCGUGGUCGCCGCCGGCCAUGCUCCGGUGGGGGCCGACGUGGCAAAGCUAAUCUAGUAGAUUAGGAGCUUAAUCUCUCGCUGUCAGUGGGCCCAAGGCCAAGUCAACUCAGUUUAGGGGCUCGUCAGCACGGGAUUAGUCUCAAAGAGGCUGACCAGUGGGUCCCCCCUGUCAGGUUUGACCUGAACAGGUCGGCUGACCUGCUGACGUCAGUCUGAUGCAAUAAAGGGAAUUUCCAGUAUAGAAAUAGAUCCAGGAAAUUGCUAGAACUUGUAAAAAUCAUAGAAAUUAAUCUGUAACUCCAAUGAAAAUAAUUUAUAUAUGAAAAAGUAUCAGAAAAAUUCAAGGAAUCUGAAUAUGCUAUUUUCAAUCAUGCUUGAAAAAGUUACAGAACCCUAACAUGUAGAAUAAGGAAUAAUUCAAUUCUUAUAAUUACUUUUUAAAUGGAAUUUGGAAAAUAUUCAAAUUUCAUUAUGAAUGCCAUGAUCACAUAUUGUCCUAAUUACAAAUCAGUACAUUAACAUGACAUCUCAUGCAUGCUAACAUCAAGUUGAUCUGAGCAUCAGGUCGAAUCAAUUAAACCGGUAUCCGAGAAUACCCCGUUUGAAUUGAUAUUCGAAUGUGAUUCAAAUCAAGUCUAAACCUAAUACAUGUUGAUUAUAAUAACUUGUCACCUUGCAUUCUCAUGCCAUGCUCAUGCAUCAUCUUGUUUGCAUAUGAUUGUUAUUGAUUGUUGCCAUUCAUUUCGGUAGGCUCCACACCCCCGGAUUCCAGCGAAUAUCCGUCUGACGGAUAUCGUUCCUCCUCUGAGCAACAAGGCAAGCAACCCUUUUGAUCAUCCCGAUAAAUCCCAUGUUCUUGCUCCUGCACCUAUUUAUUGCAUUAAGAUCAAAUGCUUCAACUGCUUUUGCCACGAUAGUUGAACCCACUUCCUUUGCAUGACCUAACCUUGUCACAGUAAAUAGCCGAACCUUGCAACCUAGCAUACCUGGUAGUUGAUUGAGUUGUGAUGUGCCUUAUCCUGCUAUGCAUCUAUGCUUAGAGUUGUGUAUGGUCUGUCAUCUAGGAGAUGAACAAAAUUGUGAGAAUGUGUUCGGUAAGUAAAGGUUGUGUGUUGAACCUGAUUUGGUAAAGGUACCGGUGAAAGGCUGUGUAGGAGUACAUGGCGGGUUGUUUCAUUGGAGCCGUCCUUAGGAACUGAGUUCCGUGUAUGUAAUCCAAGACUAGAUACUACCACAUGCUGGGCCCUGAAAUAUGACCCCGCUCGGCCUAUUAAUCGCGUAGUACUCGGUCCAGGAGAUGCAAGUAGUUUCUGGUGUUUAUAGUAAUGCUGGAGGCCGUGCAUGGUGCUAACCUGAGAGGUGGGCCGUGAUGCGGUAGGCAGUGGCACGGUGUACCAAGUGGCACCCGGAUGGUGGGCUUGGGAACCCUGCGCACAUCGUUUGAGGCCGUGGCGGAAACCUCGGCCGGACUUCCGUACGGGUUACUCUCAUAUAGGCGAUAAACCUGGACUAGGUACUAGUGUGUUUAACGGUCGUGGCCGACUCCCUCGCUGGGCUUCCGCUUGAAGGUUGCCGAGGUGCAUGACGUGCACAUGGAGAUAAGUGGCAAUAGCGUGUGUGACGAAGUACACCCCUGCAGGGUUAUGAUCUAUUCGAAUAGCCGCGUCCGCGGAUAUUGACUACUUGGAGACAUAUGUUGUUCAUAAUAACUUAAAUGGCUACUCAUAAAAUUGCCAAGAUAAGCGUGAGUGUCGUGGAUGGCAUUUCCGUACGGAGACGGAAUGAUUCCACGAUAGUGUAUUGUUGUGGUGUUAGUGGACUCGUGUGCGAGAAAUCAAGUUGUCAAAAUUAUUUAAAAAUGCAAGUUGUCUAGCCACGAGUCAAAUGUUGGCUUUCCGCAUGAAACCCCACAAUACCUUUUGAUACCUUGCAUGAGUAGUUAGUUAUCCUAAAGUCUUGCUGAGUACCUUCGUACUCAUGUUGGUUUAAUAAAUGUUGCAGAGGUUGCUAAUGACCCUAAUGGAGGGUUCUUCGUAGACAUCGACGACGACGAGUAGCUGGUGUCCCAGCUACGAUCUGGCCCUACGUUGGUCUGUAGUAUAGUCAGGCCAUGUGCCUUCUAGUUACCCUGUCUGUACUCAGACAGUUUAAACUCUUCCGCUGGCUUGUAACUGAAUGACUCCUAUUAUGGGUCGUGAGACCCUUAAUGUGUAAUAUUAUGUGUGUGGCUCUUCCGAGCCUCUUAAAUAAAGCUUGUAUUUUUAUGGUUAUGUUGUGAUGCCAUCGAUGUAUCUAUACAUAUUGGUAUGCCAUGCGUACGUGUGUCAUGCUUGAUAUGUAUGGGGUUCGAUUACCUAGUCGUGAACUUUAGUAGCACUCCUUACAAGGAAAUUCCCCUUUGUGAUCCAACGAGCCUUGGUAGUUCGCUACUGCUCCGGACACAUUGGUUGACCGGCAUGUGUCGUUCUUAGCUGCUGUGUCUGUCCUCUUUGGGGAAAUGUCACGCGAAGUAAGGGAGUCCUUGUAGCUUGCUACGACUCGUCUACAUUCGCUGAUGACCGACACCUGCUUUGUUGGGUCAUGUAUGCCUGUCCUUGUGCGGUACUGCCACUUUGGUUUAUGACUUGACAUGUCGAUCCGGGUUCUUUGACAUUGGACUGCUAGCGACACUAUCGCAUACGUGAGUCAAAAGACGCAAACGGUCCCGGCUAAGGUAAGGCUGCAACCGUGGAGUUAACCGUGUGUGAGACCACAAAGGGAUGCGAUGUGUUACAGGCUGGAUUCCUAUGGCUUAGGAUCGGGGUCCCGACAGCGUUGGUAUCAGAGCCUGACUGACUGUAGGAUUACUAAGCCAAACUGGUCGAAGUUGAGUCUAGAAUUGCUUUAGUUAUAUAUAAGGGAAUUGUUUGUGGAAGGGAACGUAAGACUCUUGUUCUCUUCUCAAGUUAUUCUAUUCUGGUCAUCCUCGUCUUUUCUGCGGGAAUUAAGGGCUAGGUUACUCAUCUUCUCCUAGGCUCGUGUUUCUGAUCGAUGGCUUAUAGGACUACGGGUCAAGAGCUAUUGGGUUUCUUUUAUUCCUAGAAAGCAGGAAGUAAGUUUGAUGAUGAGAGAGUUGAACUUGAUAGUUGAGUGGUUACGCUAUUCCAUUUUGGGUUGUCUCAAAAUUUGUUUUUGAGCAAUUACAACCGUUAUGCUGCCCAAUUUUUCAUUCAGAGCUCUAAUGCUUUUGCAUUACUCUCUAAUUACAGAUGCCUGGCCGUCCUUCUCGUCAGGUGGUACGUCUGACCAGGUGCAUUGAUGUGUCGGGUCAUACGGCCAUGCUGGUCAGGGUGAUGUCGGUGUGCGGUUACCGUUGGUACCCCGAGUACACAGUGGAGGAACAGUACCGAGACUUCAACCAGAGCCAGUACAUCUGCACUGUUAGGGUAUUUCCAGACUACCCUGGAGCUGAGAAGCCAAUCCAUUGGUCCUAUGGGUUGGGGGUCACCGUUGACAUGGCAGUAGAGGAUGCUGCCUAUUCAAUGUUGACCAUUAUGAGAGCGAGACAUGCACUGCUGCAGAAUUCAGAGUUCUGCUAUGUUCCGGCCUCUCAGCCUGGUGAAGAGGGACACCUCAGUGGAGUCUAUUUCGAUUCUUCUAUGGAGGAUCCACUACUGCAGUCCACUGUUGAGAUGCUAGAGAACAGAGACAGGGAUGCUCGUGCUCUCCGUAUGGAACUUUAUGCUACCCGUACCCGUCUGUGGACGGAUUUGACGCAGCUCGCACCGGUAGUCCAGACAGGGUAUGGAGAGAUGGAGAUGCUGAACCCUGUCAGGACCCAUCUUCCGGCUCACGUUGACUGGCCAGCUAUAGGAGGAGUCACACCUCUUCGGGGACCCCUCUUACCACCAGUCAGGGGACCAAGGCCACAUCCGUGUCCUUAUGGAUCCCAGGGAUCUCAGGCUAGAGUGUUCCCUGAUCCGCAGGUUGAGCUUCCAGGUCAUGGAGGUAAUCUCUAUGAGAUGUUCUAUGCGGAUGCCUGAGCUGUGAGCGGAAGGAUAGUAUGGUAGUAGCCGUACGUUCACAGUCCUGCGUGACUGGUGAAGUAUGUCGGUGAUGUGAAAUGAAUUCCGGAGGCCUAGAUAAAUAAUGUAUAGGAAGCUUGUAAGCCUCUGAUGAGUAGUUUCAUAAUUUCAGUAGUUUGCUCUUCGGUUAAGGUUGUACUGAACUAUGUAAGGGUGUGUAUGAACCAUGGUGUAUAUAUAGCAGUUGCUUGUUACCAUGCUGUUCGGAUAUUCAUUUCCGCAUUCCGUGUGUUCAGUACAUUCUUAAUCCAUAGCUAGUCUUGAUAUGAUGUUGGUCUAAGCUAUGAGUUUGUUUCUCAGGAUGGUGUUCACCAGGUUGAACCGUGCCCCUGCUCAUGAGCAAGGCGAGGGUAGUCAAGCGUCGCACGAAGACCUGCCUCACCCGCCUUCUCUGGUGGAAGUGAUGCUUGAGGCAGAGAGAAAUAAAAGAGAGACCAACCGACUGUUAGAGCGUAUUGAGCAGAAUACGUCUCGUUAGCCUAGGAAUGCUGCAGUGUCCCUUAAUGACUUUGUGAAGUUGAAUCCUCCAAAGUUUCAUCAUUCCGUCGAUCCCCUCGACGCUGAUGACUGGCUGUGCAGCAUCUCACGCAAGAUUCGCUCUGUGAAUGUGUCUGAGGCCGACAAGGUGACCUUUGCGGCAUAUUUCCUGGAAGGACCCGCCAAUCUGUGGUGGGAGAAUUUUGAAGCUAUGCGUCCCGCUGAACCAGUGGCCACAUGGGCAGACUUCAGUGUAGCUUUUCGUCUGCACCAUAUUCCAGAGGGCCUGAUGGACAAAAAGAGAGAGGAGUUCUGUGCCUUCACUCAGGGCAAGUUGUCUGUGGAUGCCUAUAGCCGCGAGUUCGGUAUUCUCGCCCGCUAUGCAACAGAGGAGGUGUCUACUGACGCCAAGAAGCAAGCAAGGUUUCAUAAGGGUCUGAGCCCUGAGCUCCGUCGUGAUCUGCGCCUCCAUGAGUGUGCAAGUUUUCAAGCCCUAGUCAACAAAGCGAUCAGUGCCGAGACUGGUCAUACUGACUUCGUAGCCACGAGGAAGCAUUCCCGUGACUUUGGCUCGUCUUCUGGUUCCGCGUUUCCAAAACGCAGGCUGUGGGUUCCAAACAGUUCUCUGCCACCAAGAUACACUCCGAGGCCAUCCUACGUGGCGCCUCAGACGAAUCAGGCCAACCCUCCAGCAAAAGCUUAUGGUGGUCCAGCUAGCAAUGCUGCACCACGUGCCAACCAAGUGAUAUGCUACAAGUGUGGAGAACCAGGGCACUAUUCCCGUGAGUGUCCUCAGAAUGUGGGUGCCAAGCAACCCGGAAAGUCCGUCGGGCGGGCCAAGUCGGGCAAAGCUUACUUUGUAAAGCCAACUCCUGCACGUGGCCGUGUGAACUAUGUGUCAGCAGAAGAAGCUGCAGAGGAUCCCGACGUCAUGCUGGGUACGCUUCUUGUUAAUCAUCACCCAGCGUCCGUUCUCUUUGACACUGGGUCUUCUCAUUCCUUCAUUUCAGAAAGUUAUGCACAGUUGCAUAAUAUGUCUUUUUGUGAUAUGCCAAUCCCAUUGGUUGUCCAAACCGCUGGUAGUAAAUGGCAAACCUCUAGGAUAACCUAUGACAAUGAAAUUCUAGUAGACAUGCUAGUUUUUCUAGCCUCAUUGAUAGCAUUGAAAUCUUCGGAUAUUAAUAUCAUCUUGGGCAUGGACUGGAUGUCAGCUCACUAUGCCAAGAUUGAUACUCAUUCUAGAAAUGUCCAGCUUACCCAUCCCUCGGGUGAGAUAGUAAAUGUCUCUACUCGAGUUGCCAAAUGCCAGCUCUAUUCCUUAAAUGCCAACCCUCUUCCGGAACUCGAAGACAUUCCGGUAGUCCGUGACUUCCCGGAUGUUUUUCCAGAGGAACUGCCAGGAAUUCCACCUGACACAGAUGUAGAGUUUGUAAUAGAUCUUGUUCCAGCAACUGUCCCAAUAGCCAGAAGACCAUAUAAGAUGGCACCCCUGGAGCUAGCCGAACUUAAGAAGCAAUUAGAUGAGGCUUUGAACAAAGGUUUCAUUCGUCCUAGCUCUUCUCCUUGGGCUUGUCCCGUCCUCUUCGUCAAGAAGAAAUACAGAACGGAUCGGAUGGUUGUAGAUUACCGACCAGUUAAUCUGGUCACCAUAAAGAACAAGUAUCCGCUCCCCAGGAUCAACGACCUGUACGAUCAGCUCGCUGGAUCCUCAGUCUUCUCCAAAAUGGAUUUGAGGUUGGGAUACCAUCAAAUCAAGAUUAAGAACGGGGACAUUCCAAAAACUCCUUUCGUUACUCGUUAUGGCCAAUAUGAGUACACCGUCAUGUCCUUCGGUUUGACCAAUGCCCCAGCCACUUUCUCUCGACUGAUGAAUUCAAUCUUCAUGGAGUAUUUGGACAAAUUUGUCGUGGUAUAUCUCGAUGAUAUUCUCAUCUACUCGAAGAACGAACAAGAACAUGCCGAGCAUCUAAGGCUGGUAUUGAUGAAACUUCGAGAGCAUCGCCUUUAUGCCAAAUUUUCAAAAUGUGAAUUCUGGUUACCAGAAGUGACCUAUCUAGGUCACGUAAUCUCUGGUAAGGGUAUUGCUGUCAAUCCCGAGAGAGUUCAAGCUGUCCUUGAUUGGACUCAACCUGAAUCGGUUAAGCAAGUUAGGAGUUUUCUUGGUCUAGCGAGCUAUUGUCGCUGCUUUGUCGAGAAUUUCUCCAAGGUUGCAAAGCCUCUAACUGAACUCCUCAAGAAAGAUAAAAAGUUCAAGUGGACACCACAGUGUGAGCAUAGUUUUCAGGAACUGAAAAGACGCCUGACUUCUGCACCUGUGUUGCUACCACCAGAUUUUUCUAAGGACUUUGUUAUCUACUGCAACGCCUCGCGACAAGGAUUAGGUUGCAUUCUCAUGCAAGAUCGUCAUGUGAUCGCAUACGCAUCUCGACAGUUGCGUCCACAUGAGGAUAAUUAUCCCACACAUGACCUUGAGCUUGCAGCGGUGGUCCAUGCACUAAAUGUUGGGGAACGUCGCAUGGGAAACAAAAAUUUUCCUACGCGCACGAAGACCUAUCAUGGUGAUGUCCAUCUACGAGAGGGGACGAGUCAUCUACAUACCCUUGUAGAUCGUACAGCAGAAGCGUUAGAGAACGCGGUUGAUGUAGUGGAACGUCCUCACGUCCCUCGAUCCGCCCCGCGAACAAUCCCGCGAUCCGUCCCACGAUCUAGUACCGAACGGACGGCACCUCCGCGUUCAGCACACAUACAGCUCGACGAUGAUCUCGGCCUUCUUGAUCCAGCAAGAGAGACGGAGAGGUAGAAGAGUUCUCCGGCAGCGUGACGACGCUCCGGAGGUUGGUGAUGAUCUUGUCUCAGCAGGGCUCCGCCCGAGCUCCGCAGAAACGCGAUCUAGAGGAAAAACUAUGGAGAUAUGUGGUCGGGCAACCGUGAGAAAGUCGUCUCAAAUCUGCCCUAAAAGCUCCAUAUACAUAGGAGGAGGGAGGGGGACCUUGCCUUGGGGUCCAAGGGACCCUCAAGGGGUCGGCCGAGCCAAGGGGGGGAGGACUCCCCCCCCCAAACCGAGUUGGACUUGGUUUGGUGGGAUGAGUCCCCCUCCCUUCCCUCUUCCUCCCUCUUUUUUUUCUUUUCCUUUGAUUUCCUUCUCUUGGCGCAUAGGCCCCUUUGGGACUGUCCCACCAGCCCACUAAGGGCUGGUGUGUCUCCCCAAAGGCUAUGGGCUUCCCCGGGGUGGGUUGCCCCCCCCGGUGAACUCCCGGAACCCAUUUGUCAUUCCCGGUACAUUCCCGGUAACUCUGAAAACCUUCCGGUAAUCAAAUGAGGUCAUCCUAUAUAUCAAUCUUCGUUUCCGGACCAUUCCGGAAACCCUCGUGACGUCCGUGAUCUCAUCCGGGACUCCGAAUAACAUUCGGUAACCAACCAUAUAACUCAAAUACGCAUAAAACAACGUCGAACCUUAAGUGUGCAGACCCUGCGGGUUCGAGAACUAUGUAGACAUGAUCCGAGAGACUCCUCGGCCAAUAUCCAAUAGCGGGACCUGGAUGCCCGUAUUGGAUCCUACAUAUUCUACGAAGAUCUUAUCGUUUGAACCUCAGUGCCAAGGAUUCGUAUAAUCCCGUAUGUCAUUCCCUUUGUCCUUCGGUAUGUUACUUGCCCGAGAUUCGAUCGUCAGUAUCCGCAUAACUAUUUCAAUCUCGUUUACCGGCAAGUCUCUUUACUCGUUCCGUAAUACAAGAUCCCGCAACUUACACUAAGUUACAUUGCUUGCAAGGCUUGUGUGUGAUGUUGUAUUACCGAGUGGGCCCCGAGAUACCUCUCCGUCACACGGAGUGACAAAUCCCAGUCUUGAUCCAUACUAACUCAACUAACACCUUCGGAGAUACCUGUAGAGCAUAUUUAUAGUCACCCAGUUACGUUGCGACGUUUGAUACACACAAAGCAUUCCUCUGGUGCCAGUGAGUUAUAUGACCUCAUGGUCAUAGGAAUAAAUACUUGACACGCAGAAAACAGUAGCAACAAGAUGACACGAUCAACAUGCUACGUCUAUUAGUUUGGGUCUAGUCCAUCACGUGAUUCUCCCAAUGACGUGAUCCAGUUAUCAAGCAACAACACCUUGUUCAUAAUCUGAAGACACUGACUAUCAUCGAUCAACUGGCUAGCCAACUAGAGGCAUGCUAGGGAUGGUGUUUUGUCUAUGUAUCCACACAUGUAAAUGAGUCUUCAUUCAAUACAAUUAUAGCAUGGAUAAUAAACUAUUAUCUUGAUACAGGAAUUAUAAUAAUAACUAUACAUUUAUUAUUGCCUCUAGGGCAUAAUUCCAACACUAAAAACCCGGCGACAUUACCUUCUGGGUAAUCGUUGCGAAAUAUUCACCGAUCACCAAAGUUUGAAAUAUAUCUUCACCCAGCCGGAUUUGAAUCUCAGGCAAAGACGGUGGGUUGAGUUGAUCUCGGAUUACGACUUAGGGAUAACUUACACCCCGGGGAAGGCCAAUGUUAUGGCCGAUGCGCUAAGUCGUAAAUCUUAUUGUAACAAUUUGAUGCUACAACGAGGUCAACCACAUCUCCAUGAGGACUUUCGGAAGUUGAAUCUUCAUAUUGUUCCUCAAGGAUUCCUUUCUACCCUGGUGGCGAAGCCUACUCUUAAGGAUCAAAUCAUAGCUGGCCAAAAGCGUGACAAGGGUAUAUCACGGAUCAAGGAGAAUAUUUUUAGCGGAAACGCUAAAGAAUUUUCCAUGAACGAUCAAGGUGUUGUGUUCUUCCAGAAUCGUUUAGUGGUUCCUAAGAACCCACAUCUAAGGCAGUUAAUCCUUAAGGAGGCUCAGGAUUCUCCUCUCACCAUUCAUCCCGGUAGUACUAAGAUGUAUCAGGACCUACGCCAGAGGUUCUGGUGGACUAGGAUGAAGAGAUAAAUUGCUGAGUUCGUUGCUAACUGCGACAUUUGUCGUCGAGUUAAGGCAGAACAUCAAAGGCCUGCUGGCACCCUUCAGCCUCUAGCUAUUCCUGAAUGGAAAUGGGAUAAAGUUAGCAUGGGUUUCAUUACCGGAUUUCCCAAGACCAAGAAAGGAAAUAAUGCUAUCUUUGUGGUCAUUGACCGUCUUUCCAAAGUGGCUCAUUUUCUUCCCGUUCGAGAGAGUAUAACAGCUAGCCAGCUAGUAGAGUUAUAUAUCUCUCAAAUAGUGUCUCUUCAUGGUGUUCCCCUGGAGAUUAACUCGGACCGUGGAAGUAUCUUUACUUCUCGCUUCUGGGAAAGUUUUCAGAAUGCCAUGGGGACUCACCUAUCUUUUAGCACUGCUUUCCAUCCCCAAUCAAGUGGUCAAGUAGAAAGAGUGAAUCAAAUCCUAGAAGAUAUGCUCCAAGAUUGUUUUAUAUCGUUCGGUAUGAAUUGGGAAAAGUGCCUUCCAUUCGCCGAAUUCGCUUAUAACAAUAGCUACCAAUCAAGCUUGGGCAAAGCCCCUUUUGAAGUUCUCUAUGGACGAAGAUGUCGAACACCUGUAAAUUGGUCAGAAACCGGAGAGAGGCAACUCUUUGGCCCGGAUAUGAUCCAGGAUGCAGAAGAGCAGGUUCGCAUUAUUCAUGAAAAGUUGAAAACAGCCCAGUCUCGUCAAAAGAGCCAAUAUAAUCGUCAUCAUAAGGCUGUGACCUUUGAAGUUGACGAGAAGGCUUACCUUCGGGUUACACCUUUGAAGGGUACCCAUCGAUUCGGUAUCAAGGGCAAAUUGGCUCCUCGUUACAUUGGUCCUUUUCGCAAUCUUGCCAAACGAGGAGAAGUUGCCUAGCAGUUGGAACUUCCUCCGCAUCUUUCCAAGGUUCAUGAUGUUUUCCACGUCUCGCAACUCAGGCGUUGCUUUUCGGAUCCUAUCCGUGAAGUGGACCACGAAACGCUUGAUCUCCAAGAUAACCUUUCAUAGCGAGAAUACCCCGUGCGUAUUCUUGAUCAAGCUGAGCGUACCACUCGACGUCGAAACCUCAAGUUUCUUAAAGUUCAAUGGUCAAAUCAUUCUGAAAAGGAGGCAACUUGGGAAAGAGAGGAUCGUCUCCGACUUGAGUAUCCUGCGUUAUUCCCGACGACUUCUAAAUCUCGGGACGAGAUUCUUUUGAGUGGGGGUGAGUUGUCACAUCCCUGACACCUUAAGCAAGUUAGUCUUGUGCUCAUGUCUUCUUUGCAUUUUGCAUCUAAGAAGUUUCAACAAGAACAAGAAAGUGGCAAAGGAAAAACUCAAAACCCUAGCCACUACUUUAAAUAAAGGAAAUCUCAAACUAGUUGAAAUCAAUGAACCCAAAAUGGCCUCAAGAAAAGUUCAAACUUUCUGAUAAAUCAUGAAAGUAAAUGAGCAUUGGAGAAAACUAUUUUCUUGACACUUUAAGCAUUUUAAAUUAAUGCAAAAAGCCACUGGUUUCAAAUUUUAAAUUUGAAAUCAGAAACUACAAAUUCUCAAAAAUGUUGAAAACUUUGGAAAUGGUUGGGAAUAUUAUAACAAAUAUUCAAGUGUGUUUAAAAUAGUUUUACAACCCAUUUUUGNUUGUGGAUCGCCUUUUAUGUUUCAAAAAAAAACAAAUGAUAAAAUAUUCAAAAAAAAAUUCAAAAAAACAGAUGCCAAUGUGUUAUGUGUUCUAGUUGUUAGGAAAAUUGUCACAUCCCUGACACCUUAAGCAAGUUAGUCUUGUGCUCAUGUCUUCUUUGCAUUUUGCAUCUAAGAAGUUUCAACAAGAACAAGAAAGUGGCAAAGGAAAAACUCAAAACCCUAGCCACUACUUUAAAUAAAGGAAAUCUCAAACUAGUUGAAAUCAAUGAACCCAAAAUGGCCUCAAGAAAAGUUCAAACUUUCUGAUAAAUCAUGAUAAUACCCACUGGUUUCAAAUUUUAAAUUUGAAAUCAGAAACUAUAAAUUCUCAAAAAUGUUGAAAACUUUGGAAAUGGUUGGAAUAUUAUAACAAAUAUUCAGGUGUGUUUAAAAUAGUUUUACAACCCAUUUUUGAGCUGAAAUAAAUAGCAAAACAGAACAAAACAGAAAAGAAAUAAGAGGAAGAAAAACCUUACCUGUCGCCUGAGGAGGCCCAGCCCACCAGGGGCAGGGUCGUCUUCUUCCUCUGCCUUCUGGCAGAGGGGAGAUCGACCACGGCGGCCCCCUCCACCUCCUGCUUCGCCGUGGCGAGCUCCAGAGCUCUCCGGGACAGCGCGACAACGGGGAUAAGCUCCCCGAGGCCUCCUCUAUCCAUUCCUAGCGUUAGCUCUCUCCCUCCUCUCGGAUCUUUUCCUCCCUCCUGCUGCCGCCAUUACCACGAGCUCGAGCUCGAGCCGCAGCGCUUCUAGCCACGGGAACCUUCCUCCGAGUAGUCCAGCAGCUUCGCCUCGUCGAGCUGGUCCGCUCUGCACAAGCCGAAGCUUCCCCGAGCUCUGCAUCCCCCCAACGCCAUCGUCUUCCACCUCCGGCCGCCGGACCUCUCCCGUCGAUUCGCUCCCUCCGGCGCACCCCCGAGCCCCUCAACAACACCAUCGGAACCGCCGUGAGCUCGUCGUCGUUUCCCCUCUCGCCCCACGCUCUUUCGUGCAUCGUAGCCCCGUUCCCCACCAAGGCCGAGAGCUCCUCGCCGCCGGUCAUGUCGUCGCCGUUGCUGCGGUGUCUGAUCCACGCGCUCGAGCUAGGGAUCGAGCUCCUGGAGCCUCCAGGAGUGUGAUGAGCCCAUCAGCUAUCCUCCCCGUGCCCUAGACCCCUCAACUGCGGGAGGCCGAGCUUCGGCCGCCGCUUCGGCUCGUCGCCGGCGCCUCUCCCCGAGACCCUAGCCUCCCCUGAUGCCCCCGCUAGAUGCGCCGUUGCACCAGCGUCCCGUAGCUCCUUUCUGCGCCCAAAACCGACGGCCGAUGCGCUGUCUAGCCCUCUCCGGCAAGCCCUCCGCCGUGCCCGUGGUCGCCGCCGGCCAUGCUCCGGUGGGGGCCGACGUGGCAAAGCUAAUCUAGUAGAUUAGGAGCUUAAUCUCUCGCUGUCAGUGGGCCCAAGGCCAAGUCAACUCAGUUUAGGGGCUCGUCAGCACGGGAUUAGUCUCAAAGAGGCUGACCAGUGGGUCCCCCCUGUCAGGUUUGACCUGAACAGGUCGGCUGACCUGCUGACGUCAGUCUGAUGCAAUAAAGGGAAUUUCCAGUAUAGAAAUAGAUCCAGGAAAUUGCUAGAACUUGUAAAAAUCAUAGAAAUUAAUCUGUAACUCCAAUGAAAAUAAUUUAUAUAUGAAAAAGUAUCAGAAAAAUUCAAGGAAUCUGAAUAUGCUAUUUUCAAUCAUGCUUGAAAAAGUUACAGAACCCUAACAUGUAGAAUAAGGAAUAAUUCAAUUCUUAUAAUUACUUUUUAAAUGGAAUUUGGAAAAUAUUCAAAUUUCAUUAUGAAUGCCAUGAUCACAUAUUGUCCUAAUUACAAAUCAGUACAUUAACAUGACAUCUCAUGCAUGCUAACAUCAAGUUGAUCUGAGCAUCAGGUCGAAUCAAUUAAACCGGUAUCCGAGAAUACCCCGUUUGAAUUGAUAUUCGAAUGUGAUUCAAAUCAAGUCUAAACCUAAUACAUGUUGAUUAUAAUAACUUGUCACCUUGCAUUCUCAUGCCAUGCUCAUGCAUCAUCUUGUUUGCAUAUGAUUGUUAUUGAUUGUUGCCAUUCAUUUCGGUAGGCUCCACACCCCCGGAUUCCAGCGAAUAUCCGUCUGACGGAUAUCGUUCCUCCUCUGAGCAACAAGGCAAGCAACCCUUUUGAUCAUCCCGAUAAAUCCCAUGUUCUUGCUCCUGCACCUAUUUAUUGCAUUAAGAUCAAAUGCUUCAACUGCUUUUGCCACGAUAGUUGAACCCACUUCCUUUGCAUGACCUAACCUUGUCACAGUAAAUAGCCGAACCUUGCAACCUAGCAUACCUGGUAGUUGAUUGAGUUGUGAUGUGCCUUAUCCUGCUAUGCAUCUAUGCUUAGAGUUGUGUAUGGUCUGUCAUCUAGGAGAUGAACAAAAUUGUGAGAAUGUGUUCGGUAAGUAAAGGUUGUGUGUUGAACCUGAUUUGGUAAAGGUACCGGUGAAAGGCUGUGUAGGAGUACAUGGCGGGUUGUUUCAUUGGAGCCGUCCUUAGGAACUGAGUUCCGUGUAUGUAAUCCAAGACUAGAUACUACCACAUGCUGGGCCCUGAAAUAUGACCCCGCUCGGCCUAUUAAUCGCGUAGUACUCGGUCCAGGAGAUGCAAGUAGUUUCUGGUGUUUAUAGUAAUGCUGGAGGCCGUGCAUGGUGCUAACCUGAGAGGUGGGCCGUGAUGCGGUAGGCAGUGGCACGGUGUACCAAGUGGCACCCGGAUGGUGGGCUUGGGAACCCUGCGCACAUCGUUUGAGGCCGUGGCGGAAACCUCGGCCGGACUUCCGUACGGGUUACUCUCAUAUAGGCGAUAAACCUGGACUAGGUACUAGUGUGUUUAACGGUCGUGGCCGACUCCCUCGCUGGGCUUCCGCUUGAAGGUUGCCGAGGUGCAUGACGUGCACAUGGAGAUAAGUGGCAAUAGCGUGUGUGACGAAGUACACCCCUGCAGGGUUAUGAUCUAUUCGAAUAGCCGCGUCCGCGGAUAUUGACUACUUGGAGACAUAUGUUGUUCAUAAUAACUUAAAUGGCUACUCAUAAAAUUGCCAAGAUAAGCGUGAGUGUCGUGGAUGGCAUUUCCGUACGGAGACGGAAUGAUUCCACGAUAGUGUAUUGUUGUGGUGUUAGUGGACUCGUGUGCGAGAAAUCAAGUUGUCAAAAUUAUUUAAAAAUGCAAGUUGUCUAGCCACGAGUCAAAUGUUGGCUUUCCGCAUGAAACCCCACAAUACCUUUUGAUACCUUGCAUGAGUAGUUAGUUAUCCUAAAGUCUUGCUGAGUACCUUCGUACUCAUGUUGGUUUAAUAAAUGUUGCAGAGGUUGCUAAUGACCCUAAUGGAGGGUUCUUCGUAGACAUCGACGACGACGAGUAGCUGGUGUCCCAGCUACGAUCUGGCCCUACGUUGGUCUGUAGUAUAGUCAGGCCAUGUGCCUUCUAGUUACCCUGUCUGUACUCAGACAGUUUAAACUCUUCCGCUGGCUUGUAACUGAAUGACUCCUAUUAUGGGUCGUGAGACCCUUAAUGUGUAAUAUUAUGUGUGUGGCUCUUCCGAGCCUCUUAAAUAAAGCUUGUAUUUUUAUGGUUAUGUUGUGAUGCCAUCGAUGUAUCUAUACAUAUUGGUAUGCCAUGCGUACGUGUGUCAUGCUUGAUAUGUAUGGGGUUCGAUUACCUAGUCGUGAACUUUAGUAGCACUCCUUACAAGGAAAUUCCCCUUUGUGAUCCAACGAGCCUUGGUAGUUCGCUACUGCUCCGGACACAUUGGUUGACCGGCAUGUGUCGUUCUUAGCUGCUGUGUCUGUCCUCUUUGGGGAAAUGUCACGCGAAGUAAGGGAGUCCUUGUAGCUUGCUACGACUCGUCUACAUUCGCUGAUGACCGACACCUGCUUUGUUGGGUCAUGUAUGCCUGUCCUUGUGCGGUACUGCCACUUUGGUUUAUGACUUGACAUGUCGAUCCGGGUUCUUUGACAUUGGACUGCUAGCGACACUAUCGCAUACGUGAGUCAAAAGACGCAAACGGUCCCGGCUAAGGUAAGGCUGCAACCGUGGAGUUAACCGUGUGUGAGACCACAAAGGGAUGCGAUGUGUUACAGGCUGGAUUCCUAUGGCUUAGGAUCGGGGUCCCGACAGCGUUGGUAUCAGAGCCUGACUGACUGUAGGAUUACUAAGCCAAACUGGUCGAAGUUGAGUCUAGAAUUGCUUUAGUUAUAUAUAAGGGAAUUGUUUGUGGAAGGGAACGUAAGACUCUUGUUCUCUUCUCAAGUUAUUCUAUUCUGGUCAUCCUCGUCUUUUCUGCGGGAAUUAAGGGCUAGGUUACUCAUCUUCUCCUAGGCUCGUGUUUCUGAUCGAUGGCUUAUAGGACUACGGGUCAAGAGCUAUUGGGUUUCUUUUAUUCCUAGAAAGCAGGAAGUAAGUUUGAUGAUGAGAGAGUUGAACUUGAUAGUUGAGUGGUUACGCUAUUCCAUUUUGGGUUGUCUCAAAAUUUGUUUUUGAGCAAUUACAACCGUUAUGCUGCCCAAUUUUUCAUUCAGAGCUCUAAUGCUUUUGCAUUACUCUCUAAUUACAGAUGCCUGGCCGUCCUUCUCGUCAGGUGGUACGUCUGACCAGGUGCAUUGAUGUGUCGGGUCAUACGGCCAUGCUGGUCAGGGUGAUGUCGGUGUGCGGUUACCGUUGGUACCCCGAGUACACAGUGGAGGAACAGUACCGAGACUUCAACCAGAGCCAGUACAUCUGCACUGUUAGGGUAUUUCCAGACUACCCUGGAGCUGAGAAGCCAAUCCAUUGGUCCUAUGGGUUGGGGGUCACCGUUGACAUGGCAGUAGAGGAUGCUGCCUAUUCAAUGUUGACCAUUAUGAGAGCGAGACAUGCACUGCUGCAGAAUUCAGAGUUCUGCUAUGUUCCGGCCUCUCAGCCUGGUGAAGAGGGACACCUCAGUGGAGUCUAUUUCGAUUCUUCUAUGGAGGAUCCACUACUGCAGUCCACUGUUGAGAUGCUAGAGAACAGAGACAGGGAUGCUCGUGCUCUCCGUAUGGAACUUUAUGCUACCCGUACCCGUCUGUGGACGGAUUUGACGCAGCUCGCACCGGUAGUCCAGACAGGGUAUGGAGAGAUGGAGAUGCUGAACCCUGUCAGGACCCAUCUUCCGGCUCACGUUGACUGGCCAGCUAUAGGAGGAGUCACACCUCUUCGGGGACCCCUCUUACCACCAGUCAGGGGACCAAGGCCACAUCCGUGUCCUUAUGGAUCCCAGGGAUCUCAGGCUAGAGUGUUCCCUGAUCCGCAGGUUGAGCUUCCAGGUCAUGGAGGUAAUCUCUAUGAGAUGUUCUAUGCGGAUGCCUGAGCUGUGAGCGGAAGGAUAGUAUGGUAGUAGCCGUACGUUCACAGUCCUGCGUGACUGGUGAAGUAUGUCGGUGAUGUGAAAUGAAUUCCGGAGGCCUAGAUAAAUAAUGUAUAGGAAGCUUGUAAGCCUCUGAUGAGUAGUUUCAUAAUUUCAGUAGUUUGCUCUUCGGUUAAGGUUGUACUGAACUAUGUAAGGGUGUGUAUGAACCAUGGUGUAUAUAUAGCAGUUGCUUGUUACCAUGCUGUUCGGAUAUUCAUUUCCGCAUUCCGUGUGUUCAGUACAUUCUUAAUCCAUAGCUAGUCUUGAUAUGAUGUUGGUCUAAGCUAUGAGUUUGUUUCUCAGGAUGGUGUUCACCAGGUUGAACCGUGCCCCUGCUCAUGAGCAAGGCGAGGGUAGUCAAGCGUCGCACGAAGACCUGCCUCACCCGCCUUCUCUGGUGGAAGUGAUGCUUGAGGCAGAGAGAAAUAAAAGAGAGACCAACCGACUGUUAGAGCGUAUUGAGCAGAAUACGUCUCGUUAGCCUAGGAAUGCUGCAGUGUCCCUUAAUGACUUUGUGAAGUUGAAUCCUCCAAAGUUUCAUCAUUCCGUCGAUCCCCUCGACGCUGAUGACUGGCUGUGCAGCAUCUCACGCAAGAUUCGCUCUGUGAAUGUGUCUGAGGCCGACAAGGUGACCUUUGCGGCAUAUUUCCUGGAAGGACCCGCCAAUCUGUGGUGGGAGAAUUUUGAAGCUAUGCGUCCCGCUGAACCAGUGGCCACAUGGGCAGACUUCAGUGUAGCUUUUCGUCUGCACCAUAUUCCAGAGGGCCUGAUGGACAAAAAGAGAGAGGAGUUCUGUGCCUUCACUCAGGGCAAGUUGUCUGUGGAUGCCUAUAGCCGCGAGUUCGGUAUUCUCGCCCGCUAUGCAACAGAGGAGGUGUCUACUGACGCCAAGAAGCAAGCAAGGUUUCAUAAGGGUCUGAGCCCUGAGCUCCGUCGUGAUCUGCGCCUCCAUGAGUGUGCAAGUUUUCAAGCCCUAGUCAACAAAGCGAUCAGUGCCGAGACUGGUCAUACUGACUUCGUAGCCACGAGGAAGCAUUCCCGUGACUUUGGCUCGUCUUCUGGUUCCGCGUUUCCAAAACGCAGGCUGUGGGUUCCAAACAGUUCUCUGCCACCAAGAUACACUCCGAGGCCAUCCUACGUGGCGCCUCAGACGAAUCAGGCCAACCCUCCAGCAAAAGCUUAUGGUGGUCCAGCUAGCAAUGCUGCACCACGUGCCAACCAAGUGAUAUGCUACAAGUGUGGAGAACCAGGGCACUAUUCCCGUGAGUGUCCUCAGAAUGUGGGUGCCAAGCAACCCGGAAAGUCCGUCGGGCGGGCCAAGUCGGGCAAAGCUUACUUUGUAAAGCCAACUCCUGCACGUGGCCGUGUGAACUAUGUGUCAGCAGAAGAAGCUGCAGAGGAUCCCGACGUCAUGCUGGGUACGCUUCUUGUUAAUCAUCACCCAGCGUCCGUUCUCUUUGACACUGGGUCUUCUCAUUCCUUCAUUUCAGAAAGUUAUGCACAGUUGCAUAAUAUGUCUUUUUGUGAUAUGCCAAUCCCAUUGGUUGUCCAAACCGCUGGUAGUAAAUGGCAAACCUCUAGGAUAACCUAUGACAAUGAAAUUCUAGUAGACAUGCUAGUUUUUCUAGCCUCAUUGAUAGCAUUGAAAUCUUCGGAUAUUAAUAUCAUCUUGGGCAUGGACUGGAUGUCAGCUCACUAUGCCAAGAUUGAUACUCAUUCUAGAAAUGUCCAGCUUACCCAUCCCUCGGGUGAGAUAGUAAAUGUCUCUACUCGAGUUGCCAAAUGCCAGCUCUAUUCCUUAAAUGCCAACCCUCUUCCGGAACUCGAAGACAUUCCGGUAGUCCGUGACUUCCCGGAUGUUUUUCCAGAGGAACUGCCAGGAAUUCCACCUGACACAGAUGUAGAGUUUGUAAUAGAUCUUGUUCCAGCAACUGUCCCAAUAGCCAGAAGACCAUAUAAGAUGGCACCCCUGGAGCUAGCCGAACUUAAGAAGCAAUUAGAUGAGGCUUUGAACAAAGGUUUCAUUCGUCCUAGCUCUUCUCCUUGGGCUUGUCCCGUCCUCUUCGUCAAGAAGAAAUACAGAACGGAUCGGAUGGUUGUAGAUUACCGACCAGUUAAUCUGGUCACCAUAAAGAACAAGUAUCCGCUCCCCAGGAUCAACGACCUGUACGAUCAGCUCGCUGGAUCCUCAGUCUUCUCCAAAAUGGAUUUGAGGUUGGGAUACCAUCAAAUCAAGAUUAAGAACGGGGACAUUCCAAAAACUCCUUUCGUUACUCGUUAUGGCCAAUAUGAGUACACCGUCAUGUCCUUCGGUUUGACCAAUGCCCCAGCCACUUUCUCUCGACUGAUGAAUUCAAUCUUCAUGGAGUAUUUGGACAAAUUUGUCGUGGUAUAUCUCGAUGAUAUUCUCAUCUACUCGAAGAACGAACAAGAACAUGCCGAGCAUCUAAGGCUGGUAUUGAUGAAACUUCGAGAGCAUCGCCUUUAUGCCAAAUUUUCAAAAUGUGAAUUCUGGUUACCAGAAGUGACCUAUCUAGGUCACGUAAUCUCUGGUAAGGGUAUUGCUGUCAAUCCCGAGAGAGUUCAAGCUGUCCUUGAUUGGACUCAACCUGAAUCGGUUAAGCAAGUUAGGAGUUUUCUUGGUCUAGCGAGCUAUUGUCGCUGCUUUGUCGAGAAUUUCUCCAAGGUUGCAAAGCCUCUAACUGAACUCCUCAAGAAAGAUAAAAAGUUCAAGUGGACACCACAGUGUGAGCAUAGUUUUCAGGAACUGAAAAGACGCCUGACUUCUGCACCUGUGUUGCUACCACCAGAUUUUUCUAAGGACUUUGUUAUCUACUGCAACGCCUCGCGACAAGGAUUAGGUUGCAUUCUCAUGCAAGAUCGUCAUGUGAUCGCAUACGCAUCUCGACAGUUGCGUCCACAUGAGGAUAAUUAUCCCACACAUGACCUUGAGCUUGCAGCGGUGGUCCAUGCACUAAAUGUUGGGGAACGUCGCAUGGGAAACAAAAAUUUUCCUACGCGCACGAAGACCUAUCAUGGUGAUGUCCAUCUACGAGAGGGGACGAGUCAUCUACAUACCCUUGUAGAUCGUACAGCAGAAGCGUUAGAGAACGCGGUUGAUGUAGUGGAACGUCCUCACGUCCCUCGAUCCGCCCCGCNNNNNNNNNNNNNNNNNNNNNNNNNNNNNNNNNNNNNNNNNNNNNNNNNNNNNNNNNNNNNNNNNNNNNNNNNNNNNNNNNNNNNNNNNNNNNNNNNNNNGCCGCAGCGCUUCUAGCCACGGGAACCUUCCUCCGAGUAGUCCAGCAGCUUCGCCUCGUCGAGCUGGUCCACUCUGCAGAAGCCGAAGCUUCGCCGAGCUCUGCAUCACCCCAACGCCAUCGUCUUCCACCUCCGGCCGCCGGACCUCUCCCGUCGAUUCGCUCCCUCCGGCGCACCCCCGAGCCCCUCAACAACACCAUCGGAACCGCCGUGAGCUCGUCGUCGUUUCCCCUCUCGCCCCACGCUCUUUCGUGCAUCGUAGCCCCGUUCCCCACCAAGGCCGAGAGCUCCUCGCCGCCGGUCAUGUCGUCGCCGUUGCUGCGGUGUCUGAUCCACGCGCUCGAGCUAGGGAUCGAGCUCCUGGAGCCUCCAGGAGUGUGAUGAGCCCAUGAGCUAUCCUCCCCGUGCCCUAGAUCCCUCAACUGCGGGAGGCCGAGCUUCGGCCGCCGCUUCGGCUCGUCGCCGGCGCCUCUCCCGGCGACCCUAGCCUCCCCUGAUGCCCCCGCUAGAUGCGGCGUUGCACCAGCGUCCCGUAGCUCCUUUCUGCGCCCAAAACCGACGGCCGAUGCGCUGUCUAGCCCUCUCNNNNNNNNNNNNNNNNNNNNNNNNNNNNNNNNNNNNNNNNNNNNNNNNNNNNNNNNNNNNNNNNNNNNNNNNNNNNNNNNNNNNNNNNNNNNNNNNNNNNAUGCCGCGCUAUGCGUUCGAGGAUGAUCCACGGACAUACUUCCGCGACCUCCGUGCAAAAAAGCCCCUCGUAUACUAGUGCUAACUCGUCCUCGGUAUGUUCCACCUCACGUAAGUACGCCGUGUACAUGCGUACGAGUAUUCGUGUAUGGUGGUAUUUGUGUCCGUACGGUUUAGUGCUAUUAUGUUGUGUAUGUAUGCAGGCAGGAUGCGUAUGCAAGUUUAAGAAUCUCUAUUCCUAAUUGCUUGUAAAUACGUUUUUUUGUUACAUGGUUUUUUCGGAAACGCUUCCAGCCGGGGUUUGACAAGGGCUUGCAAUAUUUUUUCGUUCAUAUUUACUUCAACCACAUUUAAAUUUGUUACAACCUUUUCUUAUUUUGUUACAAUUUGUCCAUUGAAAAGUUACAUUCACGUUUUGUUGCAACUCGAGUUUGUUGAAUUUUUUCUGCUUCAACCGGCAUUUGAUUUUACUUACAACCGUGUUAAUUUUUGCUAUAACCGGUAUCAUUUUUUGGUGUAACCGUUCAUUCAAAAAGUUGCAUACACAUUCGUGAGAGUUGUAACCCAAGUUCAUAGGAUUGUUUUGCUACAACCCAUUUUUUAUUUUGCUAUCACACAUCACCAGCAUCCUUUUUUUUGGUACGACUACGUUGAUAUUUUUUGCUACAAUCAUAUUUUUGUUGCAACCGUGGACGAAAUUUGCUGCGCCGUGGCCUAAAUUUGUUGCAUAGAGGGAUUUUUGCUGUAUGGAAGAUCUAACGGUGCGGCCCGUGGAUCUGACGACUGGGUGCGACCGGCGCGAGCGCUCUCGUCGGCGCGCUGGCGCACCCUGUUCUUUUUGUACGGUUAUUUUUGUCCCACCUCCCACAAUCCACUUUCAUUAAUUUAUUUUCUUUCUCUCAUUAAAAACCAAAUCCAUCAUUAAAGAGGAAGAUUUUGUUAUAUGCUUGCUUUGACAGAUGAUGAUUUGAUUUAAUCACGUAAAUAAUAGGUAAUUACGAAUUCAGAAAACAAUGGGAUCGCCUGGGACUCAGCCGGCUGACGUUUUCUUCAAAUUUAAACAUGAUUUUCUUUCGCUAAGCAAUCCACUCGAUUCAUUCAAUCUGGUUUUUUAGUUAUGGCCCCGUUUUCUUGUCUAACGAGUUCUUUAUUUAUAAGGCUCGUUGUAUCGGUUUUUAUGAUUAGGCCCAACUUUCUUUCAUUGGCUCAUACUCCGGUGCGAAAAGAAAUACGGUGACUCUUUGUGAGGAAACAUUGAAGUUGGGCGUGUGUGUGGGGAGAGAGUACUUUUUUUUUGCGGAAGGUGUAAAGAGAGUAUUUAGACCCGCCUGCGUAUUCAUAUUGAAAUUUACCACAUGAAAUCAAAAUUCACAAUUUCGAAAUUAAGAUGUUCAAAUUCUGCUUUUUUUCAAUAAUAUUUUUUGAAAAUGUCCAUGAAUCCAUUCUUAAAAAUAUAUUCAUGAAAUAAAAAAUUGAGUUUUUUAAGAUGAGAAUAUUUUCAAAAUGCUUGUGAGAUUCAAAUUGUCAAAAUUUUAGAAAAAUCAAAUUGCUUGUUUAAAAAAAAUCACAAAUUUAACAAAUGGUCAUCGGAGUUGCGAUCGGCUGAAAAAUAACUUACGGUUGUGACCCCACACCUUAAAACAUAUAACUGCGACCCACCUUGAAAAAUAAGCAAUUUCAGCCCCGUGAAAAAAUACAGUUACGAUCCUGCAUUAAAAACUUGCAGUUGCGCCCCUCUUAAAUAUAUGCAGUCGUGUCCCCUCUUGACAUCAAUGCAGUUGCGACGACGCAUUAAAAAACAUGCAAUUGCGACUUCAUCUUCAAAACAUGCAGUUGUGACACCGCCUUUAAAAAAUGAAGUUGCGCACCCUUAAAAUAUGUAGCUGCGAUCCCGCAUUAAAAACACAGUUGCGGCUCCGUCUUGAAAACAUGCAGUUGCAACUUCCCUUAAGAAACAUGCAAUUUCGACUUCGCAUUAAAAACAUGCAGUUGCGACACCGUCUUGAAAAUAUGUAAUUGUUGUCCCCCCUUAAAACAUGCACUCACGACCCCGCCUUGAAAACAUGCAGUUGCGACUCCCCUUAAGAAGCAUGCAAUUGCGACUUCGCAUUAAAAACAUGCAGUUGCGACACCGUCUUAAAAAUAUGUAAUUGUUGCCCCCCUAAAACAUGCACUCGCGACCCCGCCUUGAAAACAUGCAGUUGCGACUCCCCUUAAGAAACAUGCAAUUACGACUUUACAUUGAAAACAUGCAGUUGCGACACCGCCUUGAAAAUAUGUAAUUAUUGCCCNNNNNNNNNNNNNNNNNNNNNNNNNNNNNNNNNNNNNNNNNNNNNNNNNNNNNNNNNNNNNNNNNNNNNNNNNNNNNNNNNNNNNNNNNNNNNNNNNNNNACCGGGAAUGACGAAUGGGUUCCGGGAUUUCACCGGGGGGGCAACCCACCCCGGGGAAGCCCAUAGGCCUUGAGGGUGGCACACCAGCCCUUAGUGGGCUGGUGGGACAGCCCAAAAGGCUCUAUGCGCCAAGGAGAAUAAAAUCAAGAGAGAAAGAAAAAAAAAGGAGGAGGUGGGAAGGAAGGGGGACUCCCUCCCACCAAACCUAGUCCAACUCGGUUUGGGGGGGGGGGAGAGUCCUCCCCCUUGGACUCGGCCGAACCCCUUGGGCCUCCUUGAGCCCCAAGGCAAGGUCCCCUCCCUCCCACCUAUAUAUACGGAGGUUUUAGGGCUGAUUUGAGACGACUUUCCCACGGCUGCCCGACCACAUACCUCCACGGUUUUUCCUCUAGAUCGCGUUUCUGCGGAGCUCGGGCGGAGCCCUGCUGAGACAAGGUCAUCACCAACCUCCGGAGCGCCGUCAUGCUGCCGGAGAACUCUUCUACCUCUCCGUCUCUCUUGCUGGAUCAAGAAGGCCGAGAUCAUCGUCGAGCUGUACGUGUGCUGAACGCGGA